AUUCCUUUAGAAUUCAAAAUUUGAAAUGUUCAAAUACUGUUCCUUUGAAAACAAUUCAUAAAACCCAAUCAUACAUUCAUAAUGGCAUCAUCCACCAAUAUAUUCAAAAAUAGAUUAACAAAUAAUUCUUAAUAUUUCACACCAAGUAUUCAUAUAUACAUGAUUAGACCUUGACCAUCAGCGGAGUGACUCUGGGCACGGUUGCUAACAUUUAAUGUCAUGGUAAACCUACCGAGUAAUGGAUAAGGAGGAAUACCUCGUUCUAGGAUCCAAUCACCAUUGACUCAGAAACCUAAAACAUGAAUUUUUAAAAACGUGAGCACAAACUUAGUGAGUGAACAUAGGAAGGGAACAAGCAACAUUAAGGAAUGUUUAGAAAUCACGAUGCACUUAUUUGAAAACGAUGCACUUUAGCUUAAGUCCUUAUUAAAACCCUCAAUUGAACCCUUGGUUGAAAAAUCAUGUGACGAUAGAGAAUUCAUAUUCAACAUGAAAUUGGAGAAAUGGAAAAUAUGGUAAAAACCGGCCAAAUGAUAAGCGGAACAGAAAGUUUCAUUCUUGCUGUAGCGAGAAACAGAGCAACAAGAAAUACUUCCUUUCAUCCCAAAUAAACCAUUUCACUAUAAUGCAAAUCAAUUUGGAACAUUAAAAAAAUACUCAAGGUUCAGCAAGUAGGACUCCAUAUACAUUAUAGUCACAUAUGUUAUUCAUAAAAUCUUUAUUGCAUUAAUACAUGUGAACAUAUCCAAACAUAUAUGUAUAUAUAUGUAUACAUCCACCGCCUCCCCAGCUCAUGUGCAUCCCCCCACAUUGUGCACAUCUAAUGCUGUCAUGUACAUCCCCCAACAUCGCGUACACGGGCAAUAUCAUCAUUUGCCUACCUCACCACUAUCAUUACCGGUAUGUGCAUCCCCCCACAUCGUGCACACACACGGUUAUAUCCAUUACACAAUAUUAUCUACCAAUGUACUAUACAUACAUAUAUAUAUCAACAUUAUACUGAAACAUAUGGAUUCAUCACACUAUCCAUUUCACAACAUAAAAACAUUUCAUAAGGGCUUGUUCCCAGGCUUUUUUUUUUUUGAAGAGAAUUGGAUAAAUCAUUCAAAAUAUUUGUCCAAAUACAUUCACAUCUCCAAAAGAGUUUUGAAAUGCAAGUUCACUCACCUGGCAACAACGAGAUAUUAAGUCACUAUUUGUUUGGAGGUGUCUCUAACUAUUUUCACUAGCUGGUCGCUCGUUAUUUACUUCGGCACGCCAUCACAGUUCUCUAACCUUAUCUUUGCACUUCCAAGCAAUAAUACGAACUCAAUAUUUUUAAUUACAUACGUAUACGGGUAGCACUUCAAUCAAGUAAUCCUUACUCAAAUUUAUAUUUUUCAUCCUAUCAUGAAACCAUCUUCAAUUAACUCACAUCUUAAUACAUUUUUAUCAAAAUUACUUAUAUCCAUUGCUUACGAAAUUCCUUAGAUUAUAUCACCGGCAACUUAUUUAUGAUGUCACAUGCCUACUUCAACCUUUCUAAAUAAUUUUUGUCCAAAUCCAUCGUAUAUUUCCACACAUAAUCCACAUAUAUGGCAGCAACAAUCAUUCUCACUUUCACUCGAUUAUUUCCUAGUUUACAUGCAUCAUUAUCUCUCUAACUUUUAAUACUUUGUUUCUCAAUCUUCCAUCCACACUAUUCCUUUUUCAUUUCUUUCAAACAACAUGCCAUACAAUCUUAAUAAUUUUCAACUAGCUUCGGCAAAUAAAUCCUUUCAAUAACCAUAAUUCCUCACGAUACUCAACUAACCGUAGGCUUUAAAACAUAGUGUUAAGCUUACCGUUUUCCUUUUUCACUUUGAGUCCUUCAUGUACCCAUGGGUUUAUUGGCUUACAUGUUACCAAUUUUUCUCCAAUCAAGCCAAUCUUUGCUGCCACAAGACAUUUCUCUAAGUCACUAACUUAUUUUCAAAGACUACUCAAGCCAAAAAUAAGAAUUCUUAUCGUUCCUUGCUUGAAUCACCAAAACUAAGCUUUUUCUUCCUUUCUCUCUUUUUUCUUUCUUCUCCUCCUAGGGUUUAGAUGUGCUGGAAAUUGGGGCUAAAGGCUGAAAAUUUAGUGCUCAAGAAGUUUGGAGAAGAAAGGGAAAGAAAACAUGGAAAGGAAAGUGAAGAAAACUUGAUUUCAUGGUGGAUAAAGAGAAAAUGGCAUGGAAACUUCAAGAAUGGCGUGGAGCAUGGAUGAAGAAGAAGAAAAAAAUCUGGUGGGGGAAAGGAUAAAGUUGGUCUUGGCCUAAAAAAAAUCAGAGAAAGCUUUGACCAAACUUCACAUAAAAUUACCGUUUUGCCCUUUUUGUUUCCUUCCAUUUUAAUUUAGUCCUCCUAACACUCAUUUAACUCCAAUUUCCUUCUAUUACCUUCUUUUACACAUGUACAAACAAAGUAUGAAGUUUGUACUCCAACGCGGUGUCCCCAUAAUAUUUAAAAUAUUUAUUUGCCCGUGCUAUCUUUACUUAAUAAAGACACGCGACCCCAUUAACGUCAUUUUUCUCCAAAAUGCUCUCAUUCUUCUUCUCCCCCACUUAUAUUGACCAUAUACUCAUUCUUCAUGGAAAAUUUUGACAUUGAAUAAAAUAUUAAUAUUUUAAUAUUAUUUUAUUCUAAAAAUUUCCUCUUGUCUCUUCUUAUCCCCUGGGUACCCAAAAUACCUUAUUAUGCCUCAAUUGACUUCCGAAUCACUUUUUAUCGCACAAAUUCUUCUCCUAUAAAAAUAUUAUUAUUUUCUCGUGUGCGAAAUAUUUUAUCCCAAACUAUUAUUUUUAUCUUUCAUAAUUUCUAAACAUUAUAAUUAACCUCAAUUUGCAUCCAAUAAGCUUUAUUAGUCACCAUAUCAAAGCACGGGGUAUUAUAUUAAAUUAGCAUCAAUUUGCCAUCGUCCUAUCGAUAAGGUCGUAGUGACUUCUAUACAAGAGUACGAGGUGUUACAGUCUUCCUCACUUAAAAAUAAUUUGUCCCCGAAUUCACAUCAGUGUCUGGUUAUUAAUCUCAAUCUAUAAUCAUAUUUCAUUUCCUUCUUCAUAGGGAAUUUUGAUUUAUCCACCUUGUUUACUUUCAAUUCAAAUAGAACACUUUACUAGGUUGGGGUACGUAACUGAUACCUUUUAUCAUCUUUGAAUCAAAACAACGGUACCCUUCAACAAUUGUUUUCUCUUACAACUAAGAUUCCAAGUAUGUCUUUAGCUCCAUUACAAACCUUAAACACAUCUCAAUCUCAAUCAUACCGAUUUUGAUCACAAAUCAUGCUUACUUAUGUAUACCUAAUUGCCACAUCUUUAUUUUGAUUCUUGUCAAACUUCUUGAAAUUGAUUCAUAUUAUCCCCAUACACCGCCACAUAACUUUAUGGCAUUAUAAACAUGCCCUAUUCAUUCCUAUACAUAUUUCCAACAUUAGAGGAAGUUGAAUCUUUCAAUCGUUCCCUCAUACUUCAUGCUUAUCUUGCAUUUAUGCAAUUCCAAUCUUUUUAAAUUUUCUAUUAAUUGCACGUUCAAAGGUUUACUCUUCUACUUCAUUCUUAAUUCGAUGCAAUUUACAUCAUGUGGAAAGGCAACUCUCUUGCCGAUCUUUAACUUUAAUUGUAAGCCCUCUCAUUCACCAUCAAAUUCUCUUCGUAAACUUUAAUUCUUCAUGUCUCAAAAUAUAUUAUCACUAUUAGGACUUAGAACUUUUUGAUCAUCAUUGACAAAAUUGAAUUUUAUCUUUCUUAAUCAAUUUCUCAAAAUGCUCACAUUAUAGUACCAUCACCAUUUAUUCUCCAUCCAUUACACUAUUGCCUUAUGGAGAGUCUAAUACAACUAUGUCUUAUAAUUUCAUUAAUUGUUACAUCUCAAUCAUAUUAAUCCAUCUUGAAUGGCUUAACCACAUUAUAGAUUCCAUUUCUUGAUAUUCCUUCCUUGACUAUUACUCCAAAAUUCUUCCAUAUCAUCAUAACUCAAUUUCUGAUAGAAUCCCCUAUCUUUGUAUCAUCUAUACAACUCAUCAAACAUAUUGAGUUCAAAUCUCAAAUCACUAAGAAUAAUUUUUCACUUUAGUUGGUCACAUAAUCAACUCCACAUAUACAUAUGUAAACACAUAUUUAAAUGUCAACAUUCAUCACCAUGUGUAGGGAUCCUUGUGUCAAGUGCCUUCGGACUAAAUUUCCCUUUAUUUGUUCCAAUUUGUAACCAAGAUUCAAUAUCAUAUUCUCAUAGUUCAUGUUUCCCUUUUUGCUUUUUUUAAUUUCGACAUUUCUAAUUUACAUUUCCAUUUCAUCUCUAUAAAUUAAGUUUCAUCCAUAAACAUUAGGGCAUAAUCAAUUCCAGAUUACCCUUUGGAGGUUUAAGUUACCAUUUAACUUACAUCCUACCAUAAGUAAUCUGUUAUGUAAUCCAUACGGAUUCUCAUUAUGCCUAUGCAUAACUUCACAUCAUUUAUAUGUUUAUACCCUUUUUUUUUAUCAUUUCCAAUCAUAUGCAUGAGUUUUACUGUACUAUAUAUAUCUUUUGCAUCACAUUGUUAUUAAUCACAUCUCAAUUGCUAAACGUAAUCUUCAUCAAUUUGCAAUCUAAUAUUUGUAUAUGCUUUAUAAUCUCAUUGAUCUUUCAAUAUUCAUCUUUACUUGAUCAAUGCAUUUUAUGCAACACCACAAUUCCCAAAAGUCAUCCACAUUUCUCAAUUAUCUUUUAUAUCUCUAACAUAUACAUUAUAUCCUUAUUACAUUUCAAUAUUAAUUAGUCACUUAAGACUUAGACUCAUUUGAGUCAUGCAUGCCUCAAGCAUUAUCAAAUUUCAAUUUCCACAUUUGGAGGUUUUCAUUAACCUACUUCAUUAUCUUGGUUACCUUCAAUCAUCCUUUGUACUAUUCCGUUAUACCAAUAUAACAUCAUUCUCCUUUAACCAUCAUAUGAUUAGUACUCGUAAUUGCAAAAUGUGAAACAAGAUUCUACUUAAGUACUGCUAAAUGUUAUUACAAGUAUCCACUUUCAAACUUAUAACUUCCUUUUGUAACUAAACAAUUUACUACUUGUGUACACAAAGAUUCAUAGUAGGAUUCUUCUUGAGUAUUUCCUUGUGAAUUCCCACCUUAAGCUUAUGCCUCACAACAUAUGACCACAUAACCUGUGGUUUAGCCAUUAGGCUCCUUAGCAAGUUCUAAAUACCACAUUACAUCAAUGUGUAUAUAAAACACUCCAAAGUAAUAUCAACUAUCAUUCUUGCCACAAGUAGCUUGAUACAUCGUUUUCAUAACUUUGAUGCAUUUCCAAAGCACUUAGUUACUUAUUUGUUCAUUAACCUUUCAAGCACAUUCAAUCUUGUGAGACCCUGUCAAGCUCGAUUAAAAGAUGGUACUGUACCAAGUGGUACAACUAAGUUAAAUUGAGCCUUGAACUAGUUCAAAUAGAAAUUCUAAGAGAAAUUUGAAAAUUCUAAAACCCACAUAAUGGCUUAGAAUAGUGAUUCGGAGUUCAAGGUCCAGUUUGGAGUCCAUCAAGAAAAUUGACCGAUUAGGGACAAAAUGGUUAUUUUACCAUUUGAUGAUAAAAUGGAGAUUUUUAGCCAAGAUUUGAUCACAUUUGAUCAAGAAUAAUUACAUGAAAUAUAAUUAUAAUUAUUGGAGUAUAAAAUGAUGUUUAGCAGUGAAAAAUUGUGAUUCCCGGUAUUUUUGGAGCACAAGGGCAAAAUGGUAAUUUUGCCACUAGAGGACUAAACGGGAAUUUUUAUAAAUUAAUUUUUGCCCGAUUUGGUUAAUAUUGAUCAAUAUUAGUGUUAUUUUAGAUUGAAAAGUAGAAAUUAUGUGAUUUCGGUACAUUUCGAAGCAUAAGGGCAAAAUCGUAAUUUUUCCACCCCAGGGGCAAAUCGAUAAAUUUUUCUCCCCAGCACUUGUCAAGACCAAGGGAUUUUAAUUGUGGUAGGAUUGGAUAAAUAACAGAAUAUUUGUGGUGGAAAAUUAAGAAGAAAAAGUUAAAAAGUUAAAAAACUUGGGGCAAUAAGCAUGUGACACGUGGCAUGCUUGAUUAUUUUAUUAUUUUCUAUAGAAAUCAGCCCAUUAAAUCCCCAAUUCUCUCACCAUAUUCGGCCUAGGCAACCAGCAACAAGAACAAAGGAAGAACAAAGGGAAAAACAAGAAAACCUAGGUGAAAAUUCAAAGAAAAAGUGAAGAAAUCAAGGAAACAAGCUAGGUAAGUUAGAAUUUCUUUAAUUCUCCUUGAUACCUAGCUUACCCAUGCUUUUGUUCUUGAUUUCCAUGGUUGAAUAUUGAGUUAUCAUGAUGAAUUCAAUUCUGAAAAAUGGGUAUGGAAGAGGAAUUGUUGUUGGAAUAAUUUGAUUUUAGACUAUGUUAGUGUUUAGGGAUAGUUAAGCAUGGUUAUGAACAAAAACACAAAAGAAAUAUUCAAUUUCUCUAGGGUUCCUUGUUGGUCGAACCAUGAGGGCUGAAUAUCAAUGGGGGAUUGUUUUUAUUUCAAGGAAAAUGGCUUGGAAAAUGAUGAAUUAAGGUGAAACGGUUAUGUAGAAAAAAUUUCGGUGCUAGUGCACCAAAUGACCGAAUUUUUCUAUAAGGAACUGUGAGGGUUCUAAUGCUGAAUUUGGCUUUAUUUAAAUGGUAUGUGGUAAAUUAAGGUAUUAAAGGAGAAAUGGAUUAAUUUGGAGGUGAUUUGGACACAAUCGCCAAUUAAUCAGGUGAUCAGGCGAAUUUAAUCGAUACCGCGAUUAAGUGGUAAUCGGACGUAUUUUUGCAUUUACAUAUCAAGCAUUAGUAAUUUAAAUUAGUUUAUAUCAAUUUAGGGGCAAUUUAGUAAAUUCCUUGACUUUGUUAUUUGUCAAGGUAGUGAGACGUUCGGAAAAGGCAAAGGAAUUGCGCCUGAGGACUAUUAGUCCUAGUGCACCCGGAAUCCGAAUUUUCGACACCUGUGAGUGGACUGCCUUCAAAACUUGUUUUGGGAAAUAUAAUGUAAUUGCCACCCAUUUGAAUGAAUUAUCAAGUUUUUCAUGAAAACAAGUGCCUUGGGAACAAGCUUUUGAAAAAUGGUUUUAUGUUGUAAUAUGUGAUUGCUAUGGAUUCAUGCACUAUUGUAUUAUGAUGAUAUAUAUAUAUAUAUGUGUGUGUGUGUGUGUGUGUUGUGCAUGAUGAAUGAUAUUGUAUAUAAUGACUGUAACUGUGUGUGUGCACGAGGUGGAGAAUGCACAUGCCGGUGAUGGUGGUGGUGUGAAAGAUAGAUGAUGAUAGUGCCCGCGUGCACGAUGUGGGGGGAUGUACACGAUAGCACUGAUCGUGCAUGAUGUGGGGGGAUGCACAUGAUGGUGUCGGCUAUGUGCAUGAUGUGGGGGGAUGUACAUGAGCCGGGAGUGAUUAUGAUGAUAUUGAUGUUUGUUUAUGUAAUUAUGCAUAUCUAGAUUUAUGAAAUGAAAUCUCAUGAAUGUGAUAUAUGGUUGACAUAUAUGUGAAAUUUGACACAUUGUACUUUGAGAAUUUUCAUGAGUUUUAUGUUGAUUUUGUUAGUUUAGCAAGAUGGUUUGUUGAGUGAGGGAAAAUGUUUCUCUUGUUGCUCUGUUUUCGCUGCAAUGAAAGUUAUGCUCGCUGUAGCGAGAAACUCUCGGGUUUGAGGACCUUUCACCAGAACUAGUUCUCGUUGUAGCGAAAAAACUUUAUGUUUCUGGGUAACAAUUUUGUUGCAGCGAAAUUCAUCUCACUACAGCGAAAAACUUUCUAUUUUGUCUCCUAUCUUGUCCAAUUGCUACCUUAUUUUUCAUUUCUCUACUACCAUAUCUGAGCAUGGACUUCCAACAUUUAGGACAAAAUGAGUUAAGUUUAAAAUAAGGGGUUUUUAAUAUGAAUGGAACUAAAUUGCAUUGUUUUGAAACAAGUGCAUCAUGAUUUUAAAUUCUCCCUUGUUGUUGUUGCUUGUUCCCUUCCUUGUUCACUCACUAGGUUUAUACUCACCAUUUUCAAAUUCAUGUUUUCAGAUCACGAGGCAGCCGGUAACUAGGACGAGGUGUCCUUGUAGACCUGUGUCCAUCUUUUGGUAGGUGUCUCGGCAUUCGGUAGUUGUAUAUUCAUCUGUGUCACUCCUCUGGAAGUCGAGUGUGAUUUUGUUUUGUAUAGACGAACUUAAUGUAAAUUAUUAGAAUACAUGUUGUAGACAUUGUAUGUAAAAUUUUUAAGGAGUAAUGCCAGUACGAGUUGGCAAUGUAUAUCACUAUUUUGAUUCAAAGUUAUGAAAUAUGACUUAGUGAUAUUAGAUGGAAUUAUAAGUAAGAUAAAUAAAAGGCUUGCUUGGGUUUAGUGGACUACGUCCAUUGGACCCUUGCGCCGGACAUGGCCCAAAAUUUGGGUCGUGACAAUGUUGGUAUCAGAGCCCUAAGUUUGUCUAGGUCCUAGAACUUCUUUUUGUUGGUCCAGCAGAAAGUCAGGUCUUUAUGUGGGAACUUCAGUUGUAAAGUGUGAAAUGCGGCACAUUUUACAACCAAAUGACCGCAUAAAUUCCCUAUCUUAGAAACCACAUUUUGCCUUAAGUAUGAUUAUAAUAUGUGUUUAAUAUCAAGUGUUUGUUCUUGUCUAGGUAAUAAUGCCGCCUAAGACACGAGCCGGCUCAAGACGAAUAAGGGAGCUAGAUGCUCCUAUUGAGAUGGCAGAUAGGCCGCGGGCAUCCACCCGGAGAGGCCGAGGUAGACGUAGCAGGGCCACUAGGCCGGUGAGGUCGAAUAUGCCUGUGAGUAGGCAAGAGGAGGGACAGUCCUUAGAUGAUGUAGAUAGACACCCAACUGGGGGUAUUACUAUUGAGGAUUUGGCGGCAGGCCUAUAAGGAGUUAACUGGGUUGUAGAGAUGAUGGUGACCCGUAUGGAGGAUAUACAGAGGGUAGUAGAGGGGAGACCUAUAGUACAAGAAUCUCCUAGCUCUCAAGGAUAGGCUGAUCGCCAAUAUCGUGAGGUUGAGAGGGGUCAUUUAGAGAUUUCUCUUCCCGAUUUCCUAAAGCUUAAGCCUCCAUCAUUUUCAAGGUCUGAUGCAUCAGAGAAACCCCAGGCUUUCUUGGAUAAGAUGGAAAAGAUAUGUAAAGUUUUGGGAUGCUCUAGUGUUCGGUUAGUUGAGUUAGCUGCUUUCUGAUUAGAGGAUGUGGUGCAGGAGUGGUAUAGCUCUUUGUGUAGAGGUAGACCGACGGAUGCAGUGCCAUUGGCUUUGAGUGAGUUUAGUGUAGCCUUUUUGGAUCGGUUCCUACCACUCAGUGUACAUAAUGCUAGAGCUAGAGAGUUUGAGACUUUGGUACAGACUUCGAGUAUGACGGUGUCGGAGAAUGACAUCAAGUUCACACAGUUGUCUCGGUAUGCUCCCUACCUUGUUUCUACUGAGGAGAUGAAGAUUCAGAGGUUUGUGGAUGGGUUAGUAGAGCCAUUGUUUAGGGCUGUGGCAUCUCAAGAUUUCACUACCUAUUCCGCAGCAGUAGAUUGUGCUCAGCGCAUUAAGAUGAGGACUGGUGAGAGUAGGGCUAUGAAGGAUAGAGCAAAGAGGGCCAAGACAAAGGGUUAUCAGGGUCGUAGAGAUUUCAGCAGUGGUGGUUCGUCUUCUAGUCAUCAGGGUCCACAGAGGGAUUCACGAUUAUCCCAGCAGAGGAGUGACCUACCUAGUACUAGUGUUGGGAUGGGACAGAGAACUUUCAAUGCUAGGAGGUAACAAGAUUCGAGAUAGAGUACUCAAGUUAUCCACCCUUGUAAUAUUUGUGGGAGGAGACAUAGUGGACGAUGCUUACGUAUUGCGGAAGUUUGUUAUGGGUGUGGCCAACCCGGGCACAUUAGGAGGAAUUGUCUGAUGGCUCAUUAAUCACAAGAUUCGGCACGUGGUUUCGCCCAGCCAGCUUCGUCUGCUCCUUUAGUUGCUACCUCAUCUGGUCGAGAGGCUAGUGGAUCGAGAGGUAGAGGUGCUGGUACUUCCUCUCAAGGUAGGCCAUCUGGGUCUGGACAUCAGCGUUCUGUUGGUAGAGGCCAGGAGAGGGUGUUUGUUUUAACACAGCAGGAGGCCCAAACAUCCAAUGCUGUGGUCUCAAGUAUUCUUUCAAUUUGUGAUAUGAAUGCUCGAGUCUUAUUUGAUCCUAGUGCUACCCAUUCUUUUAUCUCUCUAUGUUUUGCAUCUCGGUUGGGUAGAGAUCGUGUUGGAGAAAGGAACAAUUAGUGGUGUCUACUCCUUUAAAAGAGAUAUUUGUGGCCGAAUGAGAAUAUGAGUCAUGUGUAGUAUGAGUCAAGGAGAAGGACACUUUGGUGAAUUUGGUGGUGUUAGACACCUUAGACUUUGAUGUGAUCUUGGGGAUGGAUUGGUUAUCACCCUGUCAUGCUAGUGUGGACUGUUAUCAUAAAUUGGUUAGAUUUGAUUUCCCCGGUGAACCAUCAUUUAGUAUUCAGGGGGAUAAGAGUAAUGCUCCAACCAAUUUGAUUUUGGUCAUUUCUACCAAAAGAUUAUUACGAUAGGGUUGUAUAGAUUACUUGGCCGUGAUAAGAGAUACUAAGGCGAAGGUUGGAAAUGUAAGUCAAGUGUUGGUGGUGAAGGAGUUCGUGGAUGUAUUUCCCGAGGAGCUACCAGGUUUACCUCCUGAGCGAGAGAUUGAAUUUUGCAUAGAUUUAAUUCCUAACACUAGACCUAUAUCCAUACCCUCAUAUAGAAUGGCACCGGCAGAGCUUAAAGAGCUUAAGGAUCAAUUAGAGGAUUUGUUGGAUAAAGGCUUCAUUUGUCCUAGUGUAUCCCCAUGGGGAGCACCAGUGUUAUUUGUAAAGAAGAUGGGUCACUUAGGUUGUGCAUUGAUUAUCGACAACUUAAUAAAGUGACGGUGAAGAAUAAGCAUCCUCUCCCAAGGAUAUAUGAUUUAUUUGAUCAACUACAAAGAUCACAAUGUUUCUCUAAGAUAGAUCUGCGAUCUGGGUACCAUCAGUUGAGAAUCCGAAAUGAAGAUAUACCCAAGAUCGCAUUUUGAACAAGAUAUGGGCACUAUGAGUUCUUGGUGAUGUCAUUUGGGCUCAUGAAUUCUCCUACAGCCUUUAUGGAUUUGAUGAAUCGAGUGUUCAAGCCUUAUUUGGAUAAGUUCGUGGUAGUGUUUAUUGAUGACAUCUUGAUAUAUUCGAAUAGCCGAGAGGAGCAUGAGCAGCAUCUUAAGAUAGUGCUCCAAAUUUUGAGAGAACAUCAAUUGUAUGCCAAGUUCUCCAAGUGUGAGUUUUGGCUCGAAAGUGUUGCAUUCUUGGGGCAUGUGGUAUCUAAGGAUGGGAUACAAGUUGAUUCAAAGAAAAUUGAAGCAGUGGAAAAAUGGCCAAGGCCAACAUCAGUUACGGAGAUUAGAAGCUUUGUGGGUUUAGCUGGCUAUUAUCGUCGCUUUGUGAAGGACUUCUCCAAAAUAGUUGCCCCUUUGACUAAGCUGACACGUAAAGAUACAAAAUUUGAGUGGUCUGAUGCUUGUGAGAAUAGUUUUGAGAAGCUUAAGGCAUGUCUCACCACAGCUCCAGUGUUAAGCCUGCCGCAAGGCACAGGGGGUUACACGGUGUUUUGUGAUGCAUCGGGGGUUGGUUUAGGAUGUGUAUUGAUGCAACAUGGGAAGGUGAUUGCGUAUGCAUCUAGGCAACUUAAAAGGCAUGAGCAGAAUUACCCCAUACACGAUUUGGAAAUGGCAGCAAUCGUGUUUGCCUUAAAGAUUUGGAGACAUUACUUGUAUGGUGAGACUUGCGAGAUAUACACGGACCACAAAAGUCUGAAGUAUAUAUUUCAGCAGAGGGAUCUUAACUUACGGCAACGUAGAUGGAUGGAGUUGCUAAAGGAUUAUGAUUGUACUAUUCUUUAUCAUCCCGGUAAGGCCAAUGUAGUGGCGGAUGCCUUGAGUCGAAAAUCAAUGGGAAGCUUGGCACAUAUUUCCAUUGGUAGGAGAUCCUUGGUUAGAGAGAUCCAUAGCUUGGGAGACAUAGGUGUGCGUUUGGAAGUUGCGGAGACAAAUGCUUUGCUAGCACAUUUUAGAGUGAGGCCUAUUUUAAUGGACAGGAUUAAAGUAGCACAAAGUGAAGAUGAGUUUGUGACUAAGGCCUUAGAGGAUCCUCAGGGUAGGAAAGGAAAAAUGUUUACUAAAGGCACAGAUGGAGUGUUGAGGUAUGGAACCAGACUUUAUGUGCCUGAUGGUGACGGGUUGAGGAGAGAAAUAUUGGAGGAAGCUCACAUGGCAGCUUAUGUGGUACAUCCAGGGGCUACAAAGAUGUAUCAAGAUUUGAAAGAGGUGUAUUGGUGGGAAGGACUUAAGAGAGAUGUAGCUGAGUUUGUCUCCAAGUGCCUGGUUUGUCAGCAGGUUAAGGCCGAGCAUCAAAAGCCUGCAGGGCUACUACAGCCAUUACCAGUACCCGAGUGGAAGUGGGAACAUAUUGCUAUGGACUUUGUAACGGGUUUGCCUCGAACCAGUGGGGGAUAUGAUUCAAUUUGGAUAGUAGUGGACCGGUUAACAAAGUCAGCUCAUUUUCUUCCGGUUAAGACUACUUAUGGGGCUGCCCAAUAUGCUCGAGUUUAUGUGGAUGAGAUAGUGCGACUACAUGGUAUUCCCAUUUCUAUAGUAUCUGACAGAGGAGCUCAGUUUACUAGUAGGUUUUGGGGAAAGUUGCAAGAAGCAUUGGGCACUAAGUUGGAUUUCAGCACAGCUUUCCACCCUCAGACUGAUGGACAGUCUGAACGGACCAUACAGACAUUGGAGGAUAUGUUGAGGGCUUGUGUGAUAGACCUUGGUGUCAGGAGGGAACAAUAUCUACCUUUAGUGGAAUUUGCCUACAACAACAGUUUCCAAACUAGCAUCCAAAUGGCACCAUUUGAGGCCUUAUAUGGACGAAGAUGUAGGUCACCCAUUGGAUGGCUAGAGGUGGGAGAAAGGAAACUUUUGGGGCCUGAAUUGGUGCAGGAUGCAACCGAGAAAAUACACAUGAUCCGUCAGAGGAUGUUAACAGCACAAAGUAGACAGAAAUCAUAUGCUGAUAACCGACGGAGAGACUUGGAGUUCCAAGUAGGAGAUCAUGUAUUUUUGAAAGUUUCGCCAACUAAAGGGGUAAUGAGGUUUGGCAAGAAAGGGAAGUUAAGUCCUCGGUAUAUAGGGCCAUUCGAGAUCUUAGAAAGGGUUGGAGCGGUGGCUUAUCGUUUGGCUUUACCACCAGACCUUUCAAAUAUUCAUCCCGUGUUUCAUGUGUCCAUGCUUAGGAAGUACAACCCAGAUCCAUCACAUGUAAUACGGUAUGAAACCAUUCAGUUGCAAGAUGAUCUAACCUAUGAGGAACAACCGGUAGCUAUCCUUGAUAGGCAAGUUAAAAAGCUCCGAUCAAAGAAUGUAGCCUCAGUGAAAGUGUUGUGGCGGAAUCACACUAGCGAGGAGGUAACGUGGGAAGCUGAGGAUGAGAUGCGGACAAAGCAUCCACACCUCUUCGAUAUGUAAAGGUAAGCCACUCUACAUUGAAUUUAAAUUCGGGGACCGAAUUUUUAUUAGUGGGAGAGAAUGUGAGACCUUGUCAAGCUCGAUUAAAAGACGGUAUUAUACCGAGUGGUACAACUAGGUUAAAUUGAGCCUUGAACUAGUUCAAAUAAAAGUUCUAAGAGGAAUUUGAAAAUUCUAAAACCCACAGAAUGGCUUAGAAUAGUGUUUCGGAGUUCAAGGUCCAGUUUGGAGUCCAUCAGGAAAAUUGACCGAUUAGGGACAAAACGGUCAUUUUACCAUUUGAUGAUAAAAUGGAGAUUUUUAGCCAAGAUUUGAUCACAUUUGACCAAGAAUAAUUAUAUGAAAUAUAAUUAUGAUUAUUGGAGUAUAAAAUGAUAUUUAGCAGUGAAAAUUUGUGAUUCCCGAUAUUUUUGGAGCAAAAGGGCAAAAUGAUAAUUUUACCACUAGAGGACUAAACGGAAAUUUUUAUAAAAUGAUUUUCGCCCCAUUUGGUUAAUAUUGAUCAAUAUUAGUGUUAUUUAAGGUUGAAAAGUAGAAAUAAUGUGAUUCCGGUACAUUUCAAAAGUAUAGGGGCAAAAUCGUAAUUUUUUCACCUUGGGGGCAAAUCGGUAAAUUUUUCGCUCCGGCACUUGUCAAGACCAAGGAAUUUUAAUUGUGGUAGGAUUGGAUAAAUACCAGAAUAUUUGUGGUGGAAAAUUAAGAAGAAAAAGUCAAAAAGUUAAAAAAUUGGGCCAAUAAGCAGGUGACACGUGGCAUGCUUGAUUAUUUUAUUAUUUUCUAUAGAAAUCAUCCCAUUAAAUCCCCAAUUCUCUCAUCAUAUUCGGCCUAGACAACCAACAAUAAGAACAAAGGAAGAACAAAGGGAAAAACAAGGAAACCUAGGUGGAAAUUCAAAGAAAAAGUGAAGAAAUCAAGGAAACAAGGUAGGUAAGUUAGAAUUUCUUUAAUUCUCCUUUAUACCUAGCUUACCCAUGCUUUUGUUCUUGAUUUCCAUGGUUGAAUAUUGAGUUAUCAUGAUGAAUUCAAUUCUGAAAAUUGGGUAUGGAAGAGGAAUUGUUGUUGGAAUAAUUUGAUUUUAGACUAUGUUAGUGUUUAGAGAUAGUUAAGCCUGGUUAUGAACAAAAACACAAAAGAAAUAUUCAAUUUCUCUAGGGUUCCUUGUUGGUCGAACCAUGAGGGCUGAAUAUCAAUGGGGCAUUGUUUUUAUUUCAAGGAAAAUGGCUUGGAAAAUGAUGAAUUAAGGUGAAACGGUUAUGUAGAAAAAAAAUGACCGAAUUACGUUGGGCAGUCAACGUUGCGAUGUUGUAGCUACUGGAAAUAGGGUGGUUUCAAUGCUGUAGCUUUGGAGAGUUAGUGCUACGGUGCUGUGGCUGUUGGAAAUUUCUUUAUCGAAGCAAUUCUUCUACCUUUAAGGUUACUACAUGGAUCAUGCUCAACCAUUUGGCUUUCCUCUAGGCCUAUACCACAAUUUCCAUAACCAUGUGUAUCUUCCCUUUUGCUUAUCAUAUGCACUAUGCCAAGUCAAUAUUUUCAAACUCAUAUUAUCCUUUAACACUUAUCAUCAAAAAAUAAGUCCCACCUUAGGACAUCUUUUUCCAUAUUUUGUAAUGAAAUCACAAUAUAUAUAACACCACAAACAAAAUUAUUCACCAUUUAUAGCAUCCCACAAUUCUUAUUAUCUAUAACUAAUUGUCUUUCUUGUCUUGUAACUGAAAUAGUUUAUUGACUUUCAGUACAAAAGACCAUGAAAAUAGUUCAUCUUUAUCCACACUUUAUACUCACAAUCCUUAUUAAGUAAAAAAUUCAUCCUUCCCAAGUUCAAUAAUUUACCUCAAAUGGUCAAUAUUUGUGUAAAAUUAUCAUUCUAUAAUAUCAUGGCCCUAUGUGCCCCCCUUCUUACCAUCGAUCAUACUUUAUAAGAAACAAUUAGAAGAUUUACAUACUUCUUUGUGCGUUGCAUAACUGUUUAGGACUUACUUUCUCACUAUAGCCACUUGACCAAUGAGCUAUUGUUUCGACCCUUUUUCAUGUUUAUGAAGCAUAUAUCCAUCAACCUAACUUUCAAAUUUGCUACCAUGGCUAUAAUUGUCAUUCGACCGAAUGAAUAAGCUCUAGCGAACCUAUUAAUCAUGCUUCAUUAGCCAUUGUUAGAAGGAUUUUAAAGCUAAACACUUUAAACGAAAGGUUAGCAGGUCAAAUUACCAAAAGCUUACCUCACAUUAUUAGGCGUCAGCCUUCAUAUUCACAGUAUAGUAAUUGAUUUACAUUUAACUUAUUCAUUAAUACAACUUAUCACCAUCAUCCAUUAUAUUAACAAUAACUUCAUCAUGAUUUAGCUCCGUUCACAAGCUACCAUAAAUCAGUCUCUAAUCUAAUCUAGGCUCAAUAUUCUCAUGUCACACACAUUUUUUUUUGUUUUACUAGCAAUCCAACUUAUCAGGUAGGUUAUCUUUUUUACCAAUCACCGUCACAGUUUUGUAUUUAUAUAGGCCUUUAUCAAGGCAUCCAUUUCCUUCAAACAUCUUGCCUUCCAAUUCAUUUCUAUGUGGUUUGCUUACUAGGUGGCAUUUCUUACCUAGAUGGGAGCAACACCAAAUCAAAUCCAUAUUAUAUUUUGAAAAAAAAAAGAGGUGGCUUACUAGAUGACCAUGGUACCCAUGUAGUUUCUUGUCCGCGACUUGUGCUGUGUAGUCACAAAUGGAGGGCAAAACUCUAGACCAGACCUUAUACUCAGUUGACAGACACAAGAAUCCUAGGACUCGACUAAACCUAUGGCUCUGAUACCAAGUCUGUAACGACCGCUCCUUGAUUGCUACCGACGUCUGAGUUUUGUGGGAGAACCCACCAAGUCUCGAACAAGACUUAUUUGAAACUUUAGUUAUUACAUUAUAUUGAUGCCACCGAUCUAUGUAAUUGUUUUGAACCAUAUAACUCUUUAUAGUAUAGUUUGAACAAAAGUCAUUAUAACUCGACUUAACCUUUAUUCCUCAUAAUUGUAAAAGUACAUUAAGGUUUACAAACUCCAAAUGUACAUUGCAUUAACACUCUUUCCAAAACAAUAUACGUUAUGAAUGACUUGACCUCUAGUAGUGGAGCGACUCGGAAUAAGGUGCUAUGAGAUCCCUUUAUCUAUCCGCGGUGGACAAUAUGUGCCGAUGAAUACAUGCUAUGCCGAUCACUAUCUGCAAAAAGGGAAAUAUGGGGGUGAGUCUCACAAACUCAAUGAUCAUCGACUCUGUGAGUAAGGCGUAGAUGGGAAACAACAUAGGGACAUAAAAUUUGAAUAAUUCAAAACAUAAGAGUAUAUAUAAACAAUUUAAACUCAAAUGGAACAUUUGUGCCUUACAUAUAAACCCAAGAAUUUUAAUGUAGAAUUAUCAUUUCAAAUAAUGAAUAAAAUCAGUGGAAAUGAAAGAUUUCUGCCAUCGAAAUCAUUUAAUGUCCUUUGCUUAAAAUUAAACUAACAUAAGCACGUACGCUCCCAUGAAAUCAAGCAUUAUCAAAGCUUAUACACAAGCUCAUAAACCAUCUCAUCCUUGAGGUAUUAAACACAAAAUCAUCGUAUAAAUAGGGAGCUGCGAAAAAACUUAUAUUUCUCACCAUGGAAAAGAAUUCAUGUUUGAAAACCCAAAGAGACAUCACUGUCGAGUAGGUAAUAGUAAUAAUCAACUCGUGGACCCGCUUCCACAUAAUAACAUCUAAAAGGCCCCACUUUACAAGAUUCUCGUAUCUAUGGCAGUCUCAACGAUGUUGCCCAACAUCGGAGAAAUCAUGUGGUCGUAACCACGUAUAUCAACUUAUGACCUAGCCACGUAUAUCAUCCCAUGGCCUUGCCACGUAUAUAUAUCAUAGACCGUGGCCUAGCCAUGUCAACAGCCCCGUUGACGACCCAAAGGUUCUCUAGCUAGAGCUCACUUCUGCACAAGGGUCACACUAUCCCAAUGUGACAUUCGAUCUACUCUCGAAUCUCCAAUUUGACAAAACCAUUUUAAAGCAGAUUCGGUUCUCAAAAGCUCAUUUUAAAUCUAUUUCUGAAAUACCAAUCACGGUUACAUGAUAAACUCAUUUGUAAUACUUUAUAAUGUAAAACCUUUGCAUGAGGUUUAAGUAUCAAAUCAGCAUGGUGAAUAUAUGUAAUUUAUUCAUAAAUGCACAUCACAAAAACAAAUAAGGCACAUUUUGACAUAAACCAUGGUAAAGAGCUUGUUUCCCUAUUUCUAAAUCCCUUUACAUAUAUAGUUUACAUAUAUAAAUACAAAACCCUUCUAAAAGCAUGACAUUCACAAGUGCCUAACAUUCUACCAGCUCAUGCUUUCCACAGAUACAAUAUAACUUGAUUGCAAAUCCAUUUAAAAAUUACCUAGCAAGGCUAGCAACACAUGUUGUCCACAAUUGUACUUAACGCAAACUGGCACGUUUAUUAAUCGUAUGUCGAUAUAUAGUUUCUAGAAAUUUCAAAAUAAACACCCCCUACUCACCCCACAAUAACGGGAUGUCACUUCGCUAUUAAUUCGGGUGUGUCUCUCGCUAAUUUUACUUGUCGAUCACCUGUCACCUCCUCUGGUACACCACCACGACAAUUAUUCUUCAAUUAUCAAUUUCCUAGCAGCAAUUAAACUCAAGAUACUUAACGAUUUUUCAAUUUGGUCUAUCUCACAUUUGUUGCCCUCACUAGCUUAAUGCUUUUAUAGUUAUUAUUUGUUCUUUAGUCUCAUUGAAGAGCUAAUCAUUAUUCUAGUAGUUUAAUUCAUGCUAUAGUUAUCCUUAUUUCAAAAUUAAUCUCAUGCUCACACACAAUUACAUAUGGGUAGCAACUUUACCAAGAAUUCUCAAGUCUUUACAUGCAUCACUUUCUACCCUUUACUUUCUUCAAAACAUUUCAUUCACAUGUAACGACCUUCUCUCCAAUCGUUACCGGCAUCCGAGGCUUGCGAGUGAACCCGCCAAAUCCCAAACAAGCCUUAGUUGAGAUUCUGGACAAUUAGAUUGAACAUUCUAGUGCAUAAAUAAAUCGACUUGCAAUAUUAAUACCAUUGUUUACUUAAACCAAAUAAAUAGCUAUAAUUAAGGUGUAGCAACUAGAUACAAUAUCCACGUUUCACCAGCUUCAAGAUAGCUUCAACAUCCUACUUAGUAUUCAUUACACAACCUUAAAGUUUUAGCAAAUACAUUUCUGAUAAACUAAUAAUAAUUUUAUAAGUCUAACAGUUUUACACAACACGACCCUUAUGUAGCUGUGAGACCUUGACCUUUAUAGACUCGUAAAGGGAAGUAUACGCGAUAUCCUUGAUCAAGGGUAAUUUCGUCAUUUCCUUACCAAACCCAUAAAAGUAAGAUUUUAAACAAUAUUAUGGCCCAAGUAGGCCUAAGGCAUAAAUGAAUGAUGAAAAUAUGGGUAAAAUGACAAGGAAACAAAAAUUUUGAUGAUUUUCAUAAUAGGGGCAAAAUGGUCAUUUUUCAUCUCGAGUCAAAAUUUUUAAGUUUUCAGGAACCCGAACAUUUCUAGACCAUUAUGGACCUUGUCUUAGUGUCAAAAGAGCAAAAAGAUUGCAUAAAAGAUUGGAGGAGAAUAAGUUAAUUUGUGGAGGGGCAUUUUGGUAAUUUAAUUGGAGUGGAUAAGCUUGGGCUAUAAAUAUCUCUUUCUUCUAGCAGCUUCUUGAAUUUCCAGCAGCUUCUUCUUCUUCUCCUCUUCCCAUCUCACGUUGCUUCCAUCCUCCAUGGAAGCUUGAUAUGGAGCUUAAAAAUUUUCUCUCUCUAGCUCUAGUUCUCAUACCUUUGAGCCCUUUUGACUAGAACCCUUGUAUUCUUUCAAUCUCUCACUUUAAAACCCUUGAAAAAUCCUACUUCCAUACUUUCUCUCACUAGCUAAGUGUUUAGAGAGAGAAAGAUAAAGAAAGCCCUAUAAUAAGCUUGGGAAUUGUUGAAAAAAAUUUCAAAGUUACAAAGCUAUCAAGGUGAGUAGUAAAUUAAAAUUGAGUUUUAAGUGUUAAUAAUGUUUAGUGAUUGAUUUGUGAGUUUAUUGUUGAGAUUAUGUAUUGACUCUAAUGUGAUUAGGUAGUGAACAUAGAUAGCCAUUUAAAAUGGCAAUUGAAAGCUAGUUAAGAGAUAGCUUUUAGGGUUUAUAGUAUGUGAAUUAACAUAAUGGUGAUGUUAAUGUGAUGGUAGGUUCCAAGGAAGCCUCAUCAUCCUAAUUGGACAAUUUGGGGAAUUAGAGUCAACGAAAGGCUCAACAAUAUACCGGUGAGUGGACUUGCAUUUCAAACUUAUUUUGGGGAAUGUAAAUGAAUUUAUUCAACUUGUCUUUGAAAAUGUACCUUGGGAACAAGCCUUUGGUGAAGUGAUUUUAUAUUGUGAAAAUGUGAUAUAAAACGUAUUAUGUGUUAUCAGAAUAUGAUAAUAUGCAUGAUAUGCAUUGGGUGCUUCUUUGUAUGUUGAUGUGGACCUGGCUAUGUGCGAGUAGGAGUGCACAUAAGCUGUUGUUGACCCAGCUAUAUGCAAGUGGGAGUGCACAUAAGCCGUUGCUGACCAGGCUAUGUGCGAGUGGGAGUGUGCAUAAACCGUUGCAUAUGAAAUGAUGAUGAUGGGAGAGUGUACAUGAUGAUUGAUAUAUAUAUAUAUAUAUACAUAUAUGGUAUAUGGUUGUAAUGCAAAAAUAUGAACAUUUGACUUGUUGAAAUUUGGGAGUUUGCAUGUGUUACAUGUUGCUUUGGUUAUUUAGCAAGAUGGCUUUGUUUUAAGGGAAAAGGAAACCGUUUUCUUGAUGUUUUGAUUCUCGCUGCAGCGAGAAACUCUCGGGUUUUGAAAGGGUUGGUUAGCCAAAAAUUUGCUGUGACGAAAAUUGAUUCUCACUGCAGCGAGAAAGGUACUGUAGCUUCUUGCUGCAGCAAGAAACUUUUUGUUUUAUGACCAAAAUCUAGCUGUAGCGAAAAACUUUAUGUUUUUCACCUCAUUUUGAUUAAUUGUUGCCCUAUUUUUCACUUCUUUGCUACCAUAUUUGAGCAUGGAUUUCCAACAUUAAGGAAUAAAUGAAUUAAGCUUAAUAACAGGAAGUUUGGUGAGAAACCUUCGGCCAGUCAAGAAACCCUCGGUUAGUUGAUAAUUUAAAUCAAGUGUCACUGCAGUAAAAAUUCAUUCUUGCUACAACGUAGUUGCAACAAGAAUGCUUUUCUGCUGCAGCGAGGACCUAUUGUUUAUUUGACCUGAUUCGUAUGAAUGCUAUUAAAGUUUUCACUCUCCAAAUCCUUUAUUGAAUAUAGACCCUUUCAUAAAGUUAUUUACUCAUGCAGGGUUUACAUGAGGGGUUUUAAUAAGAACAAAAACAAAUUGCAUUGUUUUGAAAAAGACUACAUCAUGAUUUCGUUAAACAUUCCUUAUGGUAUGCUUGUUCCCUUUUUUAUUCACUCACUGGGUUUAUACUCACCGUUUUCAACUUCAUGUUUUCAGAUCACGAGGCAGCCUGUAACUAGGACAACGUGUCCUCGUAGACUUGUAUCCAUCUUUUGGUAGGUGUCUUGGUAUUCAGUAGCAGUACAUUCGUCCGAGUCCUUCCAUUGGAAGUCGAGUAUUCGUUUGAUGUGUAUAGACAAAACAAAUGUAAAUUGUUAAGAUACAUGUUGUAGAUAAUGUAUAUACACUUGUUUAGUAUGUCAGUAUGAGGUGGCAAAUGUUUAAUAUUAUUUUGAUCCUAAGUUAUGAAAUGUGACUUAGCAUUUUAUAAUGGAAUGAUGAACAUGUCAGAUUAAUAGGCUUGCUUGAGCUUAGUGACCUACAUGGAUUAGGCCCAUGCACCGAUCAUGACCCAAAAUUUGGGUCGUGACAAUAUUGGUAUCAGAGCUCUAGGUUUGUCUAGGUCCUAGGACUUCCUUUUGUUGGUCUAGUGGAGAGUCGGGUCUUUAUGUGGGAACUCUAGUUGUCAAGUGUCAACUGCGGCACAUUUUACGACCAAGUGACCUCAUAGAUUCCCUAUCUUAGAAACCACCUUUUGCCUUCAGUAUGAUUAUGAAAUGUGUUUAAUAACAGUUGUUUGCUCUUAUCUAGGUAAGAAUACCGCUUAAGACACGAGCCACCUUAAGACGGAUGGGGGAGCAAGAUGCUUCUACUGAGAUGGCAGAUAGGCUACGAGCAUCCACACGGAGGGGCCGAGGCAGAUGUGGUAGGGCCACUAGGUUGUGAGGGCAGAUACGUCUUUGAGUAGGUGAGAGGAGGCACAGUCCUCAAGUGAUGUAGAUAGACACCCAGUUUGGGUUAUUACCAUUGAGGAUUUGGCGGCAGGCCUACAGGGAGUCAAUUGAGUUGUAGAGAUGAUGGUGACUAGUAUGGAGGAUAUACAAAGGGUAGUAGAGGGGAGACCUACAGUACAAGAAUCCACUAGCUCCCAAGGAUAGGCCGAUCGCCAACAUCAUGAGGUUGAGAGGAGACAUCUAGAUAUUUCUCUUCCUGAUUUUCUCAAGCUUAAGCCUCCGUCAUUUUUAGGGACUGAUGCAUCGGAGAAACCCCAGGUUUUCUUAGAUCAGAUGGAGAAGAUUUGUAAAGCCUUGGGAUGUUCCAGUAAUUGAUCAGUCGAGUUAGCCAUUUUCUGACUAGAGGACGUGGCGUAAGAGUGGUAUAGUACUCUAUGUAGAGGUAGACCAACAGAUGCAGCACUGUUAACUUGGAGUGAGUUCAGUGCAGCUUUUUAGAUCAAUUCUUACCACUCAGUGUACGUAAUGCCCGAGCCAGGGAGUUUGAGACUUUGGUACAGACUUCGAGUAUGACGGUGUCAGAGUACGACAUCAAAUUUAUGUAGUUGGCUCGAUAUGCACCCUAUCUCGUUUCUACCGAGGAGAUGAAGAUUCAGAGGUUUGUGGAUGGGUUAGUGGAGCCAUUAUUUAGGGCUGUGGCAUCUUGAGAUUUCACUAACUAUUUUUUAGUAGUGGAUUGUGCUCAACGCAUCGAGAUGAGGACCAGUAAGAGUAGGGCUACGAGGGAUAGAGUAAAAAGGGCCAAGACAAAAGGUUAUCAAGGCCGUAGAGAUUUUAGUAGUGGCGUUUCAUUUUCUAGCCGUCAGGGUCCACAGAGGGAUUCACGAUUACCCCAGCAAAUGAGUGACUCACCUAGUGCUGGUAUUGCGACGGGACAAGAACCUUCAAUGUUGAAAGGCAGCAAGAUUCAAGGGAAGGAAGUCAACUUAUCCAUCCUUGCCAUACUUGUGGGGGACGGCAUAAAGAAAGAUGCCUUCGUGCUACGGGAGUUUGUUUUAGGUGUUGUCAACCUGGACACAUUAGGAAGAAUUGUCCGAUGUCUCAUCAAUCACAAGAUUCUGCUCCUAGUUCCACUCAGCCAGCUUUGUCUGCUCCUUCAGUCACCGCCUCGUCGGAUAGGGAAGCUAGUGGAUCCAGAGGUGGAGGUGCUGGUACUUCCUCUCAGGGCAGCCAUCUAGAUGCGAACGUCAAAGUUCUGCUGGUAGGGGCCAAGCAAGGGUGUUUGCUUUGACACAGCAAGAGGCCCAAACAUCCAAUGUCGUGGUCUUAAGUAUUCUCUCAGUUUGUAAUAUGAAUGCCCGGGUACUAUUUGAUCCUAGUGCUACCCACUCUUUCAUUUCUCCAUGUUUUGCAUCUCGUUUGGAUAAAGAUCAUGUUAGGAGAGAACGACAAUUAGUAGUGUCUAGUCUUUUAAAGGAGGUAUUUAUGGCUGAAUGGGAAUAUGAGUCCUGUGUAGUGCGAGUCAAGGACAAAGACACUUCGGUGAAUCUAGUGGUGUUAGACACCUUAGACUUUGAUGUGGUUUUGGGGAUGGAUUGGUUAUCACCCUGCCAUGCUAGUGUGGACUGCUAUCAUAAAUUGGUUAGAUUUGAUUUUCCCGGUGAACCAUCGUUUACUAUUCAGGGGGAUAGGAGUAAUGCUCCAACUAAUUUGAUAUCGGUCAUAUUUGCCAGAAGAUUAUUACGACAGGGUUGUUUAGGUUAUUUGGCUAUAGUAAGGGAUACACAGGCGAAGGUUGGAGAUGUAAGCCAAGUGUCGAUGGUGAAUGAGUUCAUGGAUGUAUUUCUUGAGGAAUUACCGGGUUUACCUCCAGAGCGGGAGAUUGAAUUUUGCAUAAUUUAAUUCCAGACACUAGACCUAUAUCCAUACCCCCAUAGAGAAUGCCACCUUCAGAGCUUAAAGAGCUUAAGGAUCAAUUAAAAGAUUUGUUGGAUAAAGGCUUUAUCCGUCUUAGUGUAUCCCCAUGGGGAGCAUCGGUGUUGUUUGUGAAGAAGAAAGAUGGGUCACUUAGGCUGUGCAUUGAUUAUCAACAGCUUAAUAAAGUGACAGUGAAGAAUAAGUAUCCUCUCCCAAGAAUAGAUGAUUUAUUUGAUCAACUACAAGGAGCACAGUAUUUUUCUAAGAUAGAUUUGUGAUCUAGGUACAAUCAAUUGAGGAUCCGAAAUGAAGAUGUACCAAAGAUCGCAUUUCGAACAAGGUAUAGGCACUAUGAGUUCUUGGUGAUGUCAUUUGGGCUCACGAAUGCUCCUGCAGCCUUUAUGGAUUUGAUGAAGCGAGUGUUCAAGCCUUAUUUGGACAAGUUCGUAGUAGUGUUUGUUGAUGAUAUGUUGAUCUACUCGAGGAGUAGGGAGGAGCAUGAGCAGCAUCUUAAGAUAGUGCUCCAAAUUUUGAAAGAACAUCGAUUGUAUGCCAAGUUCUCCAAGUGUGAGUUUUGGCUUGAAAGUGUUGCAUUCUUGGGACAUGUGGUAUCUAAAGAUGGGGUACAAGUUGAUCCAAAGAAAGUUGAGGCAGUGGAAAAAUGGCCAAGGCCAACAUUAAUUACAGAGAUUAGAAGCUUUUUGAGUUUGGCUAGCUAUUAUCGUCAUUUUGUGAAAGACUUCUCCAAAAUAGUCGCCCCUCUGACUAAACUGACAUGUAAGGAUACAAAAUUUGAGUGGUCCGAUGCUUGUGAGGAUAGCUUUGAGAAGUUUAUGUCAUGUCUCACCACAACUCCAGUAUUAAGCCUACCGCAAGGCACAGGGGGUUAUACGGUAUUCUGUGAUGCAUCGCGGGUUGGUUUAGGGUGUGUAUUAAUGUAGUAUGGGAAGGUAAUUGCGUAUGCAUCCAGGCAACUUAAAAGGCAUGAGCAGAAUUACCCCGCACACGAUUGAGAGAUGGCAACAAUCGUGUUUGCCUUAAAGAUUUGGAGGCAUUACUUAUAUGGUGAGACUUACGAGAUAUACACGGACCACAAAAGUUUAAAGUAUAUAUUUUAGCAGAGGGAUCUUAACUUACGGCAACAUAGAUGGAUGGAGUUGCUAAAGGAUUAUGAUUAUACUAUUCUCUUCCAUCCCGGUAAAGCAAAUGUAGUGGCGGAUGCCUUGAGUUGAAAAUCGAUGGGAAGUUUGGCACAUAUUUCUACAGAUAGAAGAUCCUUGAUUAGGGAGAUUCAUAGUUUUGGAGACAUGACUGUGCAUAUGGAAGUUUCGGAGACAAAUGGCUAGCACAUUUUAAAGUGAGGCUUAUCUUAAUAGAUUGGAUUAAGGAAGCACAAAGUAAAUAUGAGUUCAUAGCCAAGGCCUUAGAGGACCCUCAAGGAAGGAAAGGGAAGACGUUUACCAAAGGCACAAAUGGAGUGUUAAGGUAUGGAAGUAGACUUUAUGUGCCGGACAAGGAUGGACUGAGGAGAGAAAUAUUGGAGGAGGCUCACAUGGUAGCUUAUGUGGUACAUCCAGGGGCUACAAAGAUGUAUCAAGAUUUGAAAUAGGUAUAUUGGUGGGAAGGACUUAAAAGAGAUGUAGCUGAGUUCAUCUCCAAAUGCCUAGUUUGUCAGUAGGUUAAGGCCGAGCAUCAAAGGCCUGCAAGGUUAUUACAUCCAUUAUCGAUGCCCGAGUGGAAGUGGGAGCAUAUUGCUAUGGACUGUGUAACGGGUUUGCCUCGACCUAGUGGGCGUUACGACUAGAUUUGGAUCAUAGUAGACCGAUUAACAAGGUCAGCCUAUUUUGUUCUAGUUAAAUCUAUUUAUGGUGCUACCCAAUACGCUUGAGUUUAUGUGGAUGAGAUAGUACGACUGCAUGGUAUCCCCAUUUCUAUAGUAUCUGAUAGAAGAGCUCAGUUCACCAGUGGGUUUUGGGGAAAGUUGCACAGUUUAAAGUUGCACAGUUUGAGGGUGGAAAGUCCUUAGACUAAUGGACAGUUUAAAGGGACGAUACAAACAUUGGAAGAUAUGUUGAGGGCCUAUGUGAUAGACCUUGGGGUCAGGUGGGAUCAAUAUCUACCCUUAGUGGAGUUUGCCUACAAUAAUAGUUUCCAAACUAGCAUCCAAAUGGCACCAUUUGAGGCAUUAUAUGGACGGAGAUGUAGGCCACCUAUUGAAUGCUUAGAGGUGGGAGAAAGGAAACUUUUUGGGCCAAAGUUGGUGUAGGACGCCAUUGAGAAGAUACAUAUGAUUCGGCAAAGGAUUUUGUCAGCACAAAGUAGACAGAAGUCAUAUACUGAUAAUAGACGGAGAAACUUAGAGUUUCAAGUGGGAGAUCACGUAUUCCUGAAGGUCUCACCAACUAAAGGGGUAAUUAGGUUUGGCAAGAAAGGAAAAUUAAGCCCUCGGUAUAUAGGACCCUUCGAGUUCUUAGAAAGGGUUGGAGCGGUGGAUUAUUGUUUAGCACUACAACCAGACCUCUUGAAUAUUCACCUCGUGUUUCAUGUGUCCAUGCUUAAGAAGUACAACCCGGAUCCCUCUCAUGUAAUAUGGUAUGAGACCAUCCAGCUAAAAGAUGAUUUAACCUAUGAGGAACAACCGGUAGCUAUCCUCGAUUGACAAGUCAAAAAGCUCUGUCCAAAGGAUGUAGCCUCAGUGAAACUGUUGUGGCGGAAUCACACUAGCGAGGAGGUAACGUGGGAAGUCAAGGAAGAGAUGCGAACAAAGUAUCCCCAUCUCUUUGAUACUUAGAGGUAUGUUAACUUAUAGUGAAUUUAAAUUCGAGGAUCAAAUUUCUUUAAGUGGGGGAGAAUGUGAGACCUUGACCUUUAUAGACUCGUAAAAGGAAGAAUACUCGAUAUCCCUGAUCAGGGGUAAUUUCGUCAUUUCCUUACCAAACCCAUAAAAGUAAGAUUUUAAACAAUAUUAUGGCCAAAGUAGGCUUAAGGCAUAAAUGAAUGAUGAAAAUAUGGGUAAAAUGACAAGGAAACAAAAAUUUUGAUGAUUUUCCCAAUAGGGGUAAAAUGGUUAUUUUUCAUCUCAAGUCAAAAUUUUUAAGUUUUUAGGAACCCGAACAUUUCUAGACCAUUAUGGACCUUGUCCCAGUGUCAAAAGAGCAAAAAGAUUGCAUAAAGAUUGGAGGAGAAUAAGUUAAUUUGUGGAUGGCCAUUUUGGUAAUUUAAUUAGAGUGGAUAAGCUUGGGCUAUAAAUAUAUCUUCUUUCCAGCAUCUUCUUCUUCUUCUCCUAUUCCGAUGCCACGUUGCUUCCAUCAUCCAUGGAAGCUUGAUAUGGAGCUUGCAAAAUUUUCUCUCUCUAGCUCUAGUUUUCAUACGUUUGAGCCCUUUUGACUAGAACCCUUGUAUUAUUUCACUCUCUCACUUUAAAACCCUUGAAAAAUCCUACUUCUAUGCUUUCUCUCACUAGCUAAGUGUUUAGAGAGAGAAAAAGAAAGAAAGCCCUAUAAUAAGCUUGGGAAUUGUUGGAAAGAAUUUCAAAGUUACAAAGCUAUCAAGGUGAGUAGUAAAUUAGAAUUUAGUUUUAAGUGUUAAUAAUGUUUAGUGAUUGAUUUGUGAGUUUAUUGUUGAGAUUGUGUAUUGACUCUAAUGUGAUUAGGUAGUGAACAUAGAUAGCCAUUUAAAAUGGCAAUUGAAAGCUAGUUAAGAGAUAGUUUUUAGGGUUUAUAGUAUGUGAAUUAACAUAAUGGUGAUGUUAAUGUGAUGGUAGGUUCCAAGGAAGCCUUAUCAUCCAAUUUUGCCAAUUAGGGGAAUUAGAGUCAGCGAAAGGCUCAACAAUAUACCGAUGAGUGGACUUGCAUUUCAAACUUGUUUUGGAGAAUGUAAAUGAUUUUAUCCAACUUGCCUUUGAAAAUGUACCUUGGGAACAAGCCUUUGGUGAAGUGAUUUUAUAUUGUGAAAAUGUGAUAUACAGCGUUUUAUGUGUUAUCACAAUAUGAUAAUAUACAUGAUAUGCGUUGGGUGCUUCUUUAUAUGUUUAUAUAGACCCGGCUAGGUGCGAGUAGGAGUGCACAUAAGUCGUUGCUGACCCAGCUAUGUGCGAGUGAAAGUGCACAUAAGUUGUUGCUGACCCGACUAUGUGCGAGUGGGAGUGCGCAUAAGCCGUUGCAUAUGAAAUUAUGAUGAUGGGAGGGUGUACAUGAUGAUAUAUAUAUAUAUAUAUAUAUAUAUAUAUAUAUAUACAUAUAUGGUAUAUGGUUGUAAUGACAAAAAGUGAACAUUUGAUUUGUUGAAAUUUGGGAGUUUGCAUGUGUUACAUGUUUCUUUUGUUAUUUAACAGGAUGGUUUUAUUUUAAGGGAAAAGGAAACCUUUUUCUUGAUGUUUUGAUUCUCGUUGCAGCUAGAAACUCUCGGGUUUUGAAGAGGUUGGCUGGCCAGAAAUUCACUGCAACGAAAAUCGAUUCUCGCUGUAGCGAGAAAGGUACUCUAGCUUCUCGCUGCAGUGAGAAACUUUCUGUUUUAUGACCAAAAUCUCGCUGCAACGAAAAACUUUCUGUUUUUCACCUCAUUUUGAUCAAUUGUUGCCUUAUUUUACACUUCUUUGCUACCAUAUUUGAGCAUGAAUUUCCAACAUUAAGGAAUAAAUGAAUUAAGCUUAAUAUGAGGAGGUUUGGUGAGAAACCCUCGGCCAGUCAAGAAACCCUUGGUUAGUUGAUAAUUUAAAUCAAGUGUCACUGCAGCGGAAAGGGAUUCUCGCUGCAGCUGCAGCGAGGACCUGUCGUUUAUUUGACCUGAUUCGCAUGAAUGCUAUUAAAGUUUUCACUCUCCAAAUCCUUUGUUGAAUAUAGACCCUUUCAUAAAGUUAUUUACUCAUGUGGGGUUUACAUGAGGGGUUUUAAUAAGAGCAAAAACAACUUGCAUUGUUUUGAAAAAGAAUGCAUCAUGAUUUCGUUAAACAUUCCUUAUGGUAUGCUUGUUCCUUUUCUUGUUCACUCACUGGGUUUAUACUCACCGUUUUCAACUUCAUGUUUUUAGAUCACGAGGCAGCCGGUAACUAGGACAAGGUAUCCUCGUAGACUUGUAUCCAUCUUUUGGUAGGUGUCUCGGCAUUCAGUAGCAGUACAUUCGUCUGAGUCCCUCCACUGGAAGUUGAGUAUUCUUUUGUUGUGUAUAGACAAACUAAAUAUAAAUUAUUAAGAUACAUGUUGUAGAUAAUGUAUAUGCACUUGUUUAGUAUGCCAGUAUGAGGUGGCAAAUGUUUAAUAUUAUUUUGAUCCUAAGUUAUGAAAUGUGACUUAGCAGUUUAUGAUGGAAUGAUGAACGUGUUAGAUUAAUAGGCUUGCUUGGGCUUAGUGGACUACGUCCAUUAGGCCCAUGCACCGGUCAUGUCCCAAAAUUUGGGUUGUGACAGUAGCGGAGUGACUCGACAUGGAAGUUUAAGAGAUGCCACUACCUAUGUCGCAGUGAAUCAAAAUGCUGGGGCGAUACACUUGGGCUGAUCACUUAUAUGCAAAAGGAAGAUAAGUGGGUAAGCUUCAUAGACUCAGUGACCAUUAAUUCCAUGAGCAAGGGGUAGAUGGGAAACAACCUAGGUACAAGAGAUUUGAACAUUAAAACAUAAGAGCAUAUGUAAACAGUUUAACUCGAAAGGAAGUUUUGUGCCUUACAUGAAAUUCAAGAAUUUUAAUGCAAUGUAAUCUUUUAACAAUAAUGUAUCAAAAUCAGUGCAAGUGAAAGCUUUCCACCCUCGAAAUCAUUUAAUAAACUUGCUCAAAUCCAUCCAACAUAAACAUGCAUGCUCCCGUGAAGUCAAGCAUUAUGAAAGCUUAUACACAAAUUUGCAAAUCACCUUAUCCUUGAGGAGUUAAAUACAAAGUCAUAGUAUAAACAGGGGAGCUUCGGAAAAACUUAUAAUUCUCACAAUGCGAAAGAAUACAUGUUUGAAAACCCAAAGAGAUACCACUCUCGAGUAGGUAAUCAUAGUAAUCAACUUGUGGACCUGCUUCCAUGUAACAACAUCCGAGAGGCCCCCCUCCACUGGAUUCCCACAGCCAUGGCAGUCUCGACGAUGUUGGUCGACAUCGGAGAAAUCAUGUCGUCUUAACCACGUAAUUACUUGUGGCUUAGCCACGUGUAUCAUCCUAUGGCCUUGCCAUGUAUACAUAUCACAAACGGUGGCCUAGCCAUGUCUAACAGCCCAUCGGUGACCCAAAGGUUCUUUAGCUAGAGCUCACUUGUGCACAAAGGUCACACUAUCCCAAUGUGACAUUCAGCCUACUCUCAAAUCUCUCGGUUUGAUAAAACCUUUUAAAAAUCAAGUUAGGUUCUCAAAAGCUCAUUUCAAAUCCAUUUCCAAAACACCAAUGAUGGUAACAUGAUAAAAACCCUUUUGUAAGACUUUUCAAUAUAAAACCUUUGCAUGAGGAUUAAAUAUCAAAUUAGCAUGGUGAAUAUGUAAUUUAUUCAUGAAUGCACAUCACACAAACAAUAAGGCACAUUUUGACAUAAACUGUGUUAAAGAGCUUGUUUCUCAAUUUUUAAACACUUUACAUAUAUAAUUCAUAUAUAUAUAUAUAUAUAUAUAUGUUUAAAACAAUUUCAAACAUCAUGGCAUCCACAAUGUCAUAGCGCAAUUUUCGGGCCAUGACCAGCACAAAGGCCCAAUGGGCUCAGCCCACUAAGCCCAAGCAAGCCUACUUAAUUGAUCUUAUACAUUAAUCCCUAUUCCUUUAGAAUUCAAAGCUUGAAAUGUUCAAAUACUGUUUCUUUGAAAACGAUUCAUAAAACCCAAUCAUACAUUCAUAAUGGCAUCAUCCACCAAUAUAUUCAUAAAUAGAUUAACAAAUGAUUCUUAAUGUUUCACAUUAAAUAUUCAUAUACACAUAAUUAGACCUUGACCGUCAGUGGAGUGACUUUAGGCACGAUUGAUAACACUUAGUGUCACGUUAAACCUACCGAGCAAUGUAUAGGGAAAAACACCUCGUCCUAGGAUCCAAUCACCUCUAACUCAGGAAACGUAAAACAUGAAUUUUAAAAACGUGAGUACAAACUCAGUGAGUGAACAUAGGAAGGGAACAAGCAACGUUAAGGAAGGUUUAGAAAUCAUGAUGCACAUUUUUUAAAACAAUGCAACUUAGUUCAAGUUCUUAUUAAAAUCCCUCCAUUAAACCCUUGGUUAUUAAAUCAUUUCAUGAUGAAGGAACCAUAUUUAUCAUGAAAUAAGAAAGAGAGGAAAUUUCCAAAAAACAUUUUAUCUCACCCAGCUCAUGUGCAUCCCACCACAUCGUGCACAUAGUCGGACACCACAUCUCACCCAGCUCAUGUGCAUCCCACCACAUCGUGCACAUAGCUGGACACCACACUUCACCCAGCUCAUGUGCAUCCCACCACAUCGUGCACAUAGCCGGACAUCACAUCUCACCCAUCUCAUGUGCAUCCUACCACAUCGUGCACAUAUUCGGACACCACAUCUCACCCAGCUCAUGCACGGUUACAAUUGUCACAUAAUGGUACCAUUUAUGACAUAGUAUAUAUAUAUGUAUAUCAACAUUAUACAAAAACGUAUGGAUUCAUCCUUUUACACAUUUCACAUUUCAUAACAUCAAAACAUUUUAUCAGGGACUUGUGCCCAAACAAUUUUAAAGCAAAAACUGAUAAAAUUCUCAAAUGAUUAAUUAAAACACGUAAACAUUUCCCUAAAACAUUUUUAAAUGCAAGUUCACCCACAUAGCAACAAUGAGAUAUUAAAUCACUAUUUGUUCAGAGGUGUCUCUUACUAUUUUCACUGGUCGAUCACUCGUUAUUUACUCUGACACGCCACCAUAGUACUCUAACCUUACCUCUACACUUCCUAGCAAUAAUACAAACUCAAUAUUUAAUUACAUACGUAUACGGGCAGCAUUUUAAUCAAUUAAUCCUUACUCAAAUUUAAAUUUUUCAUCUUGUCAUGAAACCAUCUUCAAUUAACUCUUAAUACAUUUUUACUAAAAUUACUUAUAUCCAUUGCUUACGUAAUUCCUUAGAUUAUAUCACCAGCAACUUAAUUAUGAUGUCACGUGCCUACUUCAACCUUUCUAAAUAAUUUUUGCCCAAAUCCAUCUUAUAUUUCCACAGAUAAUCCAUAUAUAUGACAGUAACAAUCAUUCUCACUUUUACUCGAUUAUUUUCUAGUUUACAUGCAUCAUUAUCUAUCUAACUUUCAAUACUUUGUUUCUCAAUCCUCCAUCCACAAUAUUCCUUUUUCAUUUCUUUCAAACAACAUGCCAUACAAUCUUAAUAAUUUUCAACUAGCUUAGGCAAAUNNNNNNNNNNNNNNNNNNNNNNNNNNNNNNNNNNNNNNNNNNNNNNNNNNNNNNNNNNNNNNNNNNNNNNNNNNNNNNNNNNAACUAAUCGUAGGCUUUAAAACAUAGUGUUAAGCUUACCGUUUUCCUUUUCCACUUUGAGUCCUUCAUGUACCCAUGGUUUUAUUGGCUUACAUGUUACCAAUUUUUCUCCAAUCAAGCCAAUCUUUGCUGCCACAAGACAUUUCUCUAAGUCACUAACUCAUUUUCAAAGACUACUCAAGCCAAACAAAAGAAUUCUUACCGUUCCUUCCUUGAAUCACCAAAACCAAGCUUUUUCUUUCUUCUCCUCCUAGGGUUUAGGUGUGCUAGAAAUUGGGGUUAAAGGCUGUAAAUUUAAUGCUCAAAAAGUUUAGAGAAGAAAGGAAAAGAAAACAUGGAAAGGAAAGUGAAGAAAACUUGAUUUCAUGGUGGACAAGGAGAAAAAUGGCAUGGAAGCUUCAAGAAUGAAGAAGUUGCUGGAAGCUGUUGGAAAAAUGAGAAGAAGCUACUAGAAAAUGAUAUUUAUAGCUCAAGCUUAUCCAAACUUCACUUAAAUUACGAAAAUGCCCUUAACAAGUUAACUUUGUCUUCCUCCAAUCUUUUGUGCAAUCUUUUUACUCUUUUGAUACUGAGACAAAGUCCAUAAUAGUCUAGAAGUACUCAGGUUCACGAAAACUUAAAAAUUUCUAUCCGAGAUGUAAUAUGACCAUUUUGCCCUUGCCUUGGAAAUCACCAUUAUUUCUAUUUCCUUUAUUUAUUUCACCAUCAUUAACAUCAUUUAUUUAUUCCUUAGGCCUACUCAGGCCUUAAUAAUACUAGAAAACCCACUUAUAAGAGCCCACCAUGAGAAAUGAUGAAAUUAGCCUUGGUUCAUGUUAUCGCGUUUACUUCUAGUUAUGGGUCUAUGGAGGUCAAGGUUUCACACAUACUUCUUUUCCCUGGGAUUGACCAUGUACUCCUCCUUCAUGACAAAUUUCGACAUUGAAUAAAACAUUAAUAUUUUAAUAUUAUUUAAUUAAUAAAAUAUUAUUUUAUUUUAAAAAUUUCCUCUUAUCACCUUUUGUCUCCUUAGAACCCAAAAUACCUUAUUAUGCCUCAAUUGACUUCCGAAUCACUUUUAUCUCACAAAUUCUUAUCCGAUAAAAAUAUCAUUAUUUUAUUAUUAUUUCUUCGCGUGUGAAAUAUUUUAUCCCAAACUAUUUCUUUCAUCUUUCAUCACUUUUAAAAAUUAUAAUUAACGUCAAUUGGCAUUCGAUAAUCUUUAUUAGUCACCAUAUCAAAGUAUAAGGUAUUAUAGUCUCCCUCACUUAAAUAGAAUUCGUCCUCGAAUUCACGUCAGUGUCGAAUUAUCAAUCCCACUCUAUGAUCUUAUUCCAUUUCUCCUUUUAUAGGGAAUUUCGAUCUAUUCACCACGUUCACCUCUAGUUCAACUUGAAUACUUCACUUAUGUCUAUUAUUAUCCUUUAGAAUCAAAGCAGUAAUACCCUUCACAUUCAUAAUCUUUUAUAUUGAGACUUCAAACAUGCCUCUAUCACUAUCAUUAAAUUUGAACCAUAACUGCAUCUCAAUCAUACCGAUUUUGAUCACAUAUUAUACUUACUUACGUAUACCUAAUCACCAUCGUAUUAGUUCGCUCCUUGCCAAACUUCUCGACAUUAAUUCAUUCAUCUUAUUCCCUUACACUAUUAUGUGGCCUACAACAUUACAAACAUGCCAUAUUCAUUUCUGUACAUAGUCUCAACGUUGAGAAAAUUUAAUGCUUUCAAUUAUUCCCACAUGCUUCAGGUUUAUCUUGCAUUUGCUCCACAUACUUCAAUUAUUCCCACGCCAUGGAUUACAUUUCUUUAAUCUCAUUUCUCUGACUAUUUUUUCCAAAAUUUCUUAUAUCAUCAUAGUUCAACUUCUAAUGGGACUUAUUGCCGUUGUACCAUCUAUAAACUCAUCAAAUACAUAAAGUUCAAAUCUCAAAUUAUUAAGAACAAUUCUUCACCUCAUAUGAUUAAGUCAUCAAUUUCACAUAUACGUAUGUACAUGCAUUUUCCAAAUGUCAACAUCCUUCAUUACGCAUAAGGAUCCAUGUGUUCACGUGCCUUGGACUACACUUCCCUUUAUUCAUCCCCAUCCCUAUCCAAGAUUGAAUGUAAUAAUCCUCAUAGUGCAUGUCAGCAUUCUUGUUAUGCCUAUGCAUAACUUCAUAUCGUUUAUAUCAUUUCCAACUAUAUGCUUGAGUUUUAUCAUACUAUAUAUCCUUGCAUCACAAUGUCAUUAAUCACAUCUCACUUGCUAAAUGUCAUUUUCAUUAAAUUGCAAUCCAGUAUCCGUAUAUGCUUUAUAAUCUCAUUGAUCCUUCAAGGAUUUAUCUCUUACUUGAUCAUUGCAUCUUAUGCAAUGCCACCAUCCCUAAAAGUCAUCCUUAUUUCUCAAUUAUUCUUCAUACCUCUAACAUAUAUAUAUUAUAUCUUUGUUGCAUUUUGACCUUAAUGAGUCACUUAAAACUUAGACUGAUUCGAAUAGUGCCUACCUCAAGUAUUUCUGAAUUUCAAUUUUCAUACUACAUUAGAAAGUUUUCAUUAUCGGGGCUUCAUUAUCCAGAUUAUCUUCAACCAUCCUUUGUUCUAUUCUUCCAUACUAACGUGACAUUAUUCUCCCUGGACCAAUUUACAGUUUUUGCUUGAAAUUGCAAGACUUGAAACAAGGUCCUCCUCAAGUACUUUUCAAUGUCAAUAUGAAUAUCACCUUCAGCUUACGGCUUCCUCUUUAUAACCACAUAACUUAAUGUUUACAUUCACAAGAUCCAUAACAGAACUCCUCUUGAGUAUUUCCUUGGGGAUACCUAUCUUAAACUCAUGUCUCACCUCAUGUGAUCACUUAACCUGUGACUUAGCCGUUAGGCUCCUCAGCAAGUUACAAAAAUUUCACAUUUUAUACUUGCCGUGUAUGAUUUAUAAUUCCUUCUCAAAGAUGUUUGUGCAUUCCUGAAACACUUAGUCUCUUAUUUGCUCCUUAACAUCUCGAGCAUAUUGUCCUAUAGACAUGCAUUUAUUCUUAAAGAUAUAUAAAUACAUACUCAUCCAUUCAAUCCCCAAUUUGUCUUCAUAGGUGUCUAGUGUGCCACAUAAUUGGCCUUGUGUUGUUACUAACCCCUUUCAUUUAGUUGAGUCAAGACAAGAAUUGCAAAUUCUCAUAACGAUAUUCUGGAUAAACCCAUUCGCUAUACCACCCUUGUAAUCCUUCAUUCACACUUUCAUCACUUGGUAUUGACAUCCCUUACCCAUAUCUCAUAUAUUCAUCUAACUCUUCACUCACUUUCUCUUUAGCCUUUAACAAGGCUUAAUCUCUCGUCUCCUUUAUUUCUUAGGGUUUACCUUUAGUCAACAUAUUAUCCAUAAACAGAGCAUUUUAAGUGAAAUGGGUCUUGUUACAUCAAAAGCCAUUUUCUUGUUGAAAUGAAAAGCAAUUUGGGAGCAAUUAACAAUGCCAACACACAACACAAUCACAAUUAUUUUCAUAAACUUUCUAUAACAUAUAUAUAUUUGUAUAUACAUACAUCAUCAUGCAUACCAUCCCACCACACUCAACUCAAUGCAAUAUCAUCAUCAUGUGUGCACUUUCUACUCACACACUUCAACAUCAUCAUGUGUGCACUCCCUACUCGCACACUUCAACAUCUUCACACAACAUUAUUCAUCAAGACAAAACAUAUAUUCAUAUAUAUACCUACCAACAUAAUAUAAAAGCACAUGGAUUCAUCCUUUUACACAUUUCACAUUUUUCACAGCAUCAAAAUAUUUUAUCAAGGGCUUGUUCCCUGGCACACAUUUUUAAAGAAAAGUUGGAUAAAAUCAUUCAAAUGUUCAUUCAAAUACACUACAUUUCCCAAAGAAAUUUUGAAAUGUAAGUUCACUCACCAGUCUUUAUUGAUGUUUUAGUGGGCUCUAGCUUCGACUAAUGUUCCGAAUGGAGGUGUAGGGUUUUGUUGGAACCUAUCACACACAACAACAUCACCAUCAACCUAACUUGGCAUUGUUACUAUUCCAAAGCUAUUUUCUAAACUGGGUUCUACUAGUCAUUCCUAACUAGUUUCCAACUAUUAUUAAAUGGCUAUUAUUUGCACCAUCCUAAUCACUUUAAAAUGAAUAAACAACCUCAACUACAAAGCAUUCCCAAGUCUCAUCACUAGCUAUUCUCAACACUUAAAUAUCAAAUUCUAAUUCUCUACUCACCUUAGUAGCUUCGUAGUUGAAUCUGUUUUCAAAAAUUUCAAGCUAUUAUGGAAGCUACCUCUUUCUUUCUCUAAACACCUAGUUAGUGAGAAAAAGUAUGGAAGUAAGAUUUUUUUUUUCAAAGGUUUUAAAGUGAGAGACUGAAAGAGCACAAAGGUUCUUGAAAGGGUGCAUAAAAGCAUGAAAAGUGGAGCUAGCUUGAGAGAGUUAUAGAAGCUUAAAGAGAACUUCCAUGAAAGAUGAAGAAACAUGAGAGGGAAGAAGGAAGAAGAAAAAGAAGCUACUGGAAAAUGUGAGAAGAAGCUGCUAGAAUAUGAUAUUUAGCUUAUCCAACUCUAUUUAAAUUACUAAAAUACCCUUAGCAAGUUAGCUUAUUCUUCUCCAAUCCUUUGUGCAAUCUUUUUACUCUUUUGACAUUGAGGCCAAGUCCACAAUGGUCUAAAAAUAUUCGGGUUUAUGAAAAAUUAAAAUUUUAACUUGAGAUGAAAAAUGACCAUUUUGCCGUUACUUUGGAAAUCAUCAUUAUUUUUAUUUCUUUCGUCAUUUAAUCCUUAUUUUCAUAAUUCAUUUAUGGUAUAGGCCUACUUAGGCCUUAAAAAUGUUUCAAAGCAUACUUUUAGGGGCUCACUCAAGAAAUGACGAAAUUACCCCUAGCUCGAGUUAUCGUGUCUACACCUAGUUAUGAGGCUAUAGAGGUCGAGGUCUCACAACCACCUUAGUCACAGCCCAAAUUCCAGGCUACGACAGGCGCAUGGGCCCAAUGGGCAAAGCCCACUAAGCUCAAGCAAGCCUAUUUAUGCUGUCAUGACUCGGAACCUCCCUCGGGCCCACAACAAUCGUUUUGACGUCUCGAUUUACACUCAUUACUCGGAAUGCCAAUCGGAACCCCGCAAGGCAUACAUAUCAGUUUCUUGCCUUUCCUGUGAGCAAUCGUUGUUAAACAUUCUGUUUUAAACAAUUACCAGUCGUUUUCGGCUCAAGUAAAUCAAAAGACAAAAUUAUUUUAAAAAGAUUUAUAGACAAAUAUUACUAAUCAAAAUAUUGAUUAAAAUAUAGCAUUUUUGUAUAAAACAAUAUUUAUAGAAACACGUGUAAGUAAAAUAAAUUCAUACAUACAAUAAUUUACAAAGUUAUAAUGUACGAUAAUAAUUACAAUGACAAGUGGCCCGUAAAUACACAAAGUGUUGGUGAUAGUAACCUACUAUCUGUGAGAUAGAGGGGUCAACUAGAAUCCUCGACAAAAUUGGGGUAUCUACAAGUUACCACAGACCUUAAAUAUUUGGAAAGGAGGUAAGUGAGAUUUUGCAAUCCUAAUAAGUAAACAAACAUUAUUAUAAAUAUCUAAAGGCGAGUAAAAUGGAGGCUAGUUUAAACAACAAAUCACAAACCAUUUCAUAAGGUUUUCAAUUUAAUUCUUAAACCAUAAAAUAUUUGUAAUUUACCAAAACAGUUGUUAAGGCUUAUGACUUUUAUUAAAAACAAGGCUCAAGCUAAAAACUAAUCCUCGGGGAUACCUUGGCCGAGGCAUCUAAUCGAGUUCGCCCAGGUUGUUAAGAUAUUUACAUGUUAAACACAUGUUAGUUUUGAAAACAAGUCGUUCCUUGGCAUUGGCCAAGUUACACAAUCACGUGGGGGUUCGAUGUGAAGUGAACUCUAACACUACCCUAGGAGUUACCCUCAUCGCCUCUACAUCCAUAGUAACUAUAUAAUCGGGUUUACCGUGCCCCUUAAUAGGCAGUCCAUGGAAACCCGCCACUGUAGUGACUAAACCCACAAAUUUUAAUAAAAUUUCGACAAUAUAACGUGGCUUUUAUUUAUAUACCCAACCUGCAUAGUAAAAGACAGCUUACAUAAAUUCCCAAUGCAAUUAUCAAAUAUAGCCACAUAUAUACUCAUAUAUCAUAAGCCAUUCAUAGGAAAAUAUAUUUUUCACGACAAUUGGCAGCCUCCAAUUACUCAAUUUAAUGAUUAAAAGUUUCUUAUUUCAGAUAAUCAACACAAUGAAUUUAUUUGGCACAUUUAUUUCUAAAACAUCAAAAGUUCCAUUUAAUCUCAUUUUCGUUUCAUAAAAUACAUAAAGAGUAUUUAAAAAUAAACACUAGAUAAUUUACAAUAAUAAUAGGUUUACUCACCGUUUGUACAAACUAAUUGCUUUUUAGGUGGCCCGAUCACUGUUCAUCUAGUACGACUUCCUUGCCUUUACCGAAAGGCUCUCCUCCUAGACACAUUGAAAAAAUUUAACAAUUCACCACAUUGAUGCUAAAUCACUAUAUAAUUAACUUAAAUCUUAUACUAAUGCAUGGUAUGAAAUGCAAUAGCCUAAAACGGCUUAAACGCGGUAUUAACCUAUUUUUGGCACUUUACCCAAUAAAUUGCUAACGCGCUCCAUUUUAGCUCUAAAUUGUCCCAUUUUCUCUCAAACAUUUCUAACCAUUAAAUAUCAGCCAAUAACUUUCUAAAAUCAUCAAAAUCAACUCACUGUCCUCCUUGGAAAAAUUCGGCCAAAAAUGGGACAUUAAUUCGGUAAAUCUUCCACUUUGUUUUUCUAUCACAUUUAACCAUUUUUCAUCAUUUUCUCUUCAUUUCUGUUAGAAUAAAAAUCAGUUCAUCAUGAUUGUAUAUCAUUGAACAUUCAGCCAAGGGUGGGUAUUGUGAAAAUUUCAUGCUUUCUUGCCCAAUUUGAUUUCUAUACACAUUUAACUAACUAAAACUACCAAUUUAACUAAGAAUCUAAACCUAAAAAUUCCAAAAUUCUCUCCCUUGAAUUUCGACCAGCCCUUGGUUUCACUUUUUGAUCUCUCUCCUCAAGCAUGCUAAAUGGAAAUAAAGGCAUAGGAAAGGUAGAAAUCAAGCUAAAGUAGAAAAAUCUUACCGUUAGACGCGUAAACGGACGAAAAACGCGAUUUCCCAUUUGAAUUUUCUAGUUUUCCUUUGGUUUUUCUCUUUUCUUCCUUUCCUCUCUAUUUUCUCUCUUGUUCUCUCCUUAUGGCCGGCCAUCACCUGAUGUGGGGUUUAAAUGGGCUGAUUUUCCAUUAAAAUAAUAUUAAAAAAUUAAAAAGUGCCAUGUGUCACUUUUCCAUUGGCCCGUUUUUAAAUUUUCAUUCUUUAAACUUUAAUUUUUCACUACUUAACAUACCAUUGUUAUUAUUACAAAAAAUAAGUAAAUCUUAUGAUUUUGACAAGUUUUGGGUGGUGAAAAUUAUGAUUUUUACCCUAGGAGGAUAAAAUUACCGUUUUGCCCCUAUGUUUCGAAAAUUGCCGAAAUUGAAAAUUUUCACUUCCUAUCAUUAAAUUAUACUCCAAAUAGUUAAUCUUGGUAAAAAAUUUCACUCCAUGAUCAAAUUAUUAUCUUAGGUGGCAAAAUGACGAUUUUGCCCCUGAACAUCAAAAUUUUCAAUUUUUCCCCAAAUGAACCCUCGAACUCCGAACAAUCAUUUUUAGUCAUUCUUGGACUGUAAAAUAUUAAAUUUCAUCCUACGAUUCCUAUUUGAACUAGUUCGAGGUUAAAUCAACUCAAGUGUACCAUUAGGUAUAAUACCGAGUUUCGUUUAUUCUUAAGACUUUCCUAGCAUAAUAACAUGCUACUCAGUGCAUGUAUGUCAUGACAUGUGUUUAUAGGGUCGGGUUUUACAAUUCUACCCCCAUUAAAAUAAAAUUUUGACUUCAAAAUUUCACUUACCAGAUUCGACAAAUAGAUGCGGGUAUUGGUUCCUCAUCUGAUGCUCUACUUCCCAUGUCAUUUCCUCCAUUCGAGCACUUUUCCACAACACUUUGACCAUUGAAAUACUCUUGUUCCUCAAUACUCGAUCUUUUCGAUCCAAGAUACUCACAAGUUGCACCUUGAACUUCAAAUCGUCAUGCAACUCGAUCGGAGGUGCUUCGAGGAUGUGAGAGGGAUUUGGUACAUAUUUCUUAAGCAUAAAGACAUGGAAAACGCUGUGGAUCCGAUCUAACUUCGGAGGUAGUUCUAAUCGAUAAGCCACUGGUCCAAUUCUCUCAAUGAUUCGGAAUGGUCCAAUAUACCUCGAGUUAAGCUUUCCCCGCUUCGCAAAUCGAAUCACACCUUUCCACGGAGAAACCAUAAGAAAAACUCUAUCAUCGAUCUCAAACCUCCGUGUCUUUUCUCCGUUUAUCUGCAUAGCUCUUCUGCCUAUCCUGGGCUACCUUUAGCCUCUCUUGUACAACCUUGAUCUUGUCAUUAGUUAGAUCAAUCAAUUCCACACUAACUAACUUUCUUUCAUCCAUUUCAUCCCAGCAAAGUGGAGUACGACAUUUCCUUCCAUAUAAAGCUUCGUACGGUGCCAUACUAAUGCUAGACUAGAAGCUGUUAUUAUAAGCAAAUUCCACUAACGGUAAAUGUCUAUCUCAACUUCCAAGAAAAUCCAUGACACAAGCCCUCAACAUAUCCUCCAUAGUUUGGAUGGUCCUCUCUGACUGACCAUCCGUCUGUGGGUGAAAAGCAGUGCUAAAUUUCAAUUUGGUUUCGAGAGCUUCUUGAAAUUUCAGCCAAAAUCGAGAAGUGAAUCGAGGAUCUCGAUCUGACACUAUAGAAACGGGAACUCCAUGUAGCCUCACAAUCUCAUCUAUAUAGAGCUAAGCCAGCUUCUCAAUAGAGUAUGUACUAUGGACAGCUAAAAAGUGAACGAACUUAGUCAACCGAUCUACGAUCACCCAGAUCGCAUCCUUUCCCCUCUGUGUCCGCGGUAGUCCCAAAACAAAAUCCAUAGUUACAUGCUCCCAUUUCCACUCGAGAACAGGUAAAGACUGAAGUGUACCUGCUGGCCUCUGAUGCUUUGCCUUAACUUGCUGACAUACGAGACACUUUACUACGAAUUCUGCUACGUCUCGCUUCAUACCUGGCCACCAAUAAUUCUCCCUGAUAGUCCUAUAUAUCUUGGUGCUUCCAAGAUGUAAUGCAUAGGCAGAUGAAUGGGCUUCUUCCAUGAUUGCCUGUCUCAGUUGGUUUCCCUUAGGAACACAAACUCGAUCUUUAAACACCAGGACGUUAUCUUCUCUGAAUUUGAACUCACUAACUCCCUCAUCGGUCAAUUUUUGAAUUUCUUUUCUUAACUCAUCAUCAGACCUCUAAAUGUCCUUGAUCUGAUUAAGUAAUGAAUGUCGCACAAUGAAGCUUGCCAAUAAGAAUCCAUUCUCACCAUUUCUCAACUAGACCCCAAGAGAUUUCAUCUCUAAUAAGGCUGGCAAAUAACAACGCUGAUAAUGCUGGCAAAUAACAACGCUGAAGUGCAGCUAAAGACGAUGAAGACUUACGACUUAAGGCAUCAGCUACAACAUUCGCCUUUCCCAGAUGAUAGUCUAUCACCAAGUCAUAAUCGUUUAUCAACUCCAACCAUCUCCUUUGCCUCAAAUUAAGCUCCUUCUGAGUGAGCAAAUAUUUUAAACUCUUGUGAUCCGUAAAUACCCGACAAUGCUCACCAUACAAGUAAUGCCUCCAGAUUUUUAAAGCAAACACCACUAUUGCUAACUCUAAAUCAUAGGUAGGGUAAUUUGCUUCAUGCCUCUUUAGCUGUCUAGAAGCAUAAGCCAUAACUUUUUCAUCUUGCAUCAACACACACCCUAACCCCAACUUAGAUGCAUCACUAUACACCACAAAUUCUUUUCCAUUAACAGGAAGUGUUAAAACUGGAGCGGAGGUUAACCGGUUCUUUAGCUCCUGAAAUCAAUUCUGACAAACAUCAUCCCACUCAAACUUAACUCCUUUACGAGUUAGACGGGUCAAAGGAGCUGCUAUUAAGGAAAACCCCUAAACAAACCUCUGAUAAUAACCGGCUAAUCCGAGGAAACUACGAAUCUCUGUCACUGUCUUAGGUUGCUCCCAUUCUAAAAUUGCCUCUAUCUUCUUGGGAUCAACAUAUAUUCCAGCUCCCAGUACUACGUGUCCCAAGAAUACCACUUCCUGUAACCAAAACUCACACUUCGAAAACUUUCCAUACAACUAUUUUUCCCGCAAAGUCUGUAAUACUAUACGCAAGUGGGUAGCGUGCUCAUCAUUAUCUCUCGAGUAAACCAGGAUGUCAUCAAUGAACACAAUAACAAACUUGUCCAAGUAAGGGUGGAACACCCUGUUCAUGAGAUCCAUAAAAGCUACCGGUGCGUUAGUUAACCCGAAAGGCAUGACCAAGAACUCAUAAUGAUCGUACUGAGUCCUGAACGCUGUCUUGGGUACAUCUUGUUCUUUAAUCCUCAACUGAUGAUACCCAGACCUCAGGUCAACCUUAGAAACCACUGUAGCUCCCUGUAAUUGAUCGAAAAGAUCAUCAAUCCUCGGCAACGGAUACUUGUUCUUAAUGGUCAUUCUAUUAAGCUGUCGAUAAUCUAUACAUAACCGAAGUGUACCGUCAUUCUUUUUCACAAAUAAAGCCGGUGCUCCCCACGGAGAUGUACUAGGGCGUAUAAAACCCUUGUCCAUUAACUCUUGCAAUUGUACUUUCAACUCCUUCAACUCUGUCGAAGCCAUUAUAUAUGGAGCAAUAGAGAUAGGGGCAGUACUCGAAAGUAAGUCAAUGGUGAAUUCGAUCUCACGAUCAGGAGGAAGUCUCGAUAAUUCAUCAGGAAAUACAUCAGGAAACUCACUUACUACGGGGACAUUCUCUAACUUAGGUUCCUCCCUCAAUAUAUCAAUCACGUGAGCCAAGUAAGCCGGAUAUCCCUUUCGCACCAAUUUCAAAGCUUUGAGGGUCGAGAUUACACAAUACGGUAAUACUCGACGCUUCCCCGUAAAUACAACUUCUGCUCCCUCUAAACUCUGGAGAAUCACUUCUUUCUUAAAACAAUCGACCUUUGCUCAAUGAAUGGACAACCAAUCCAUACCCAAGAUCAAAUCAAAGUCCCGAAUCUCCAAAGAGAUUAAAUCACCCAUAAAUUCUUCUUCCCCAACUUUAAUACCAUAGUCUCUAUAAUACGUAUUUCUUACUAACCGCUCACCUAGAGGAGUAUGCACUACAAUAUCUUCCUCUAAUGGUGACAGGUUCCUAUCUGAGAAUUAUGCAAAUGAUAUGCUCAAGUAAGAUCUAUCGGAGCCCGAAUCUAUCAAAACAUGUGCAUCUCUAUCAAACAUAAUCAUAGUACUUGUCACUGUGCUAGGUCGAACCCGGGCUUCAUCCUCAGUCACUACAAAAACCCUAGUCAAAAUCUAGGGCUACGGUUUGGAAGAUGGCUGCUUUGGGGUAUUACUCCCCAUGCUUGACCGUAUCAUUGGGCCCUGUUUGGACUGUGAUCCUGAAGUGUUUCUCCGCGGUAUACUAGGAUGACUCGGAGGAGUAGAAGUAGCUACUGUACCCCGUCUCAACUGAGGACAAUAUCUCUAGAUAUGCCCUUGUUGGUUGCAUUGAAAACAUCUUACAGGCUUUCUACAUGACCCAACAUGAAAUCCUCCGUAAUUACGGCAUCUCUCCAAUCCUCCUGAAGUCCCCAUCUGAUUACUCAUCACUGGCCAAUCAAAUCUAGAAGAUCUCGGCUGUGAUUGCUGAGAUGGAGGUCUAGUGGAUACCACAAACGCUGAGGUAGCACUUCCUGCAAUAGAUGUCAAAUCUCUGCCUCUCUUUGAAGACUACCCGAGAACGUAGGCGAAUUCUUUCUCUUUGCAAACUCAGCUCGGAUCCAUCUAUUCUCAGUGCCGAACUUCUCAGUCCAUAAGGCCAUCUGCACAACUUCCUUAUACGACUCCUUGCCAGUCACUAUCAUACUCUCCCGUAUCUCAUUAUGGAGUCCCUCUUCAAAGUAGUUUACCUGGUCUUGCUCCAAUCUCACUAACUCAGGUACAUAAGACAUCAGCUCGUUAAAACAAGUUUCAUACUUCUCAAUGGUCACGUUCCCUUAUUUCAAGCUCAGAAAUUCUCUCUUUUUCUCUUUCUGAUGGAAAUAGGUGUAGUACUGACCAUCGAACUCUCGGAGGAAAUCCGUCCAAGUCAGCGGUAUAGAAGAGCGAGACUUUACUGAAUUCCACUAGGUACGGGCUCUCUUCUAAAAUAACCGUGUAGCCACCUUCAAUUUCAUCUCAUCAUCAAUCCCAUAUCUGCCAGUGUCUCCGAUACUUGAAUAACCUAAUCCCUAGCUACGGUCGCAUCCAACUCACCAGUAAACGAGACGCAACCUAACUGUCUAGCUUCCUUCAAUUUCUUAGAAAUGGAGACAUCCGGUGUUUGGGGUGGAAUAAGAGGUGGUGGUACUGGGGCUAUUACAGGGGAAACAGAGGGUGGAACUGGACCAACCUGAGCCUGACCCGUAAGAGCAGCGAGAAAAAUUGCUAAUGCCUGAGCUACCUCGGGUGACAUGGUAGGUACGCUAGGAGCAGCAACAGAUGGUGGAUGAGGUACAGGAAUGUUAGUAGACUCAGCAGUAGGAAUUGCUCUAAAAGAAGACGCAGCCGACUCCUCUUCUAUGGAAUCCGAUCAACUUUGUCUAGGGCUACCUCUUCCCCUACCAGUAGAUCUAGUGAUAAGUGGUAGCUCACGUCAAGGUGGCAUAAUGAUCUACAAAAGAACAGAAUUGAUUUAGACGACUUAAAACUCUAUAUGCAACUACAUGUAACUAACUAAUCUUAACUGGGCCACACUGACAUUGUAAAUUAUUUUAAAAUAACUUUAAAUCCAAUAACUUUAAAAAUCAAAAACUUCUUUCAAAACCAUAAGCUUUUAAACCGAAAGCUCUGAUACCAAUUGAAUUGUCACGACCCGGAACCUCCCUCGGGCCCACGACAAUCUCCGCGACAUCCCGAUUUACACUCAUUACUCGGAAUGCCAAUCGAAACCCCGCAAGGCUUACGUAUCAGUUUCUUGCCUUUCCUGUGAGCAAUCGUUGUUAAACAUUCUAUUUUAAACAAUUACCAGUCGUUUUCGGCUCAGGUAAAUCAAAAGACAAAAUUAUUUUUCAAGGAUUUAUAGACAAAUAUUACUAAUCAAAAUAUUGAUAAAAAUAUAGCAUUUUAUCUAAAAUAAUAUUUAUAGAAACACGUGUAAGUAAAAUAAAUUCAUACAUACAAUAAUUUACAAAGUUAUAAUGUACAAUAAUAAUUACACUGACAAGUGGCCCGUAAAUACACCAAGUGUUGGUGAUAGUAACCUACUGUCUAUGAGAUAGAGGGUUCAACUGGAAUCCUCGACAAAAUCAGGUAUCUACAAGCUACCAUAGACCUGAAAUAUUUGGAAAGGAGGUGGGUGAGAUUUUGCAAUCCCAAUGAGUAAAUAGACAUUAUUAUAAAUAUCUAAAGGCGAGUAAAAUGGAGGCUCGUUUAAACAACAAAUCACAAACCAUUUCAUAAGGUUUUCAAUUUAUUUCUUAAACUAUAAAAUAUUUGUAAUUUACCAAAACAGUUGUUAAGGCUUAUGACUUUUAUUAAAAACAGGGCUCAAGCUAAAAACUAAUCCUCGGGGAUACCUUGGCCGAGGCAUCUAACCGAGUCCGCCAAGGUUGUAAAGAUAUUUACAUGUUAAACACAUGUUAGUUUUGAAAACAAGUCGUUCCUUGGUGUUGGCCGAGUUACACAUUCACGUGGCGGUCCGACGUGAAGUGAACUCUAACACUACCUUGGGAGUUACCCUCCUCGCCUUUACAUCUACAGUAAUUAUAUAACUAGGUUUGCCGUGCCCCUCUAAUAGGCAGUCCAUGGAAACCCGCCACUGUAGUGACUAAACCCACAAAUUUUAAUAAAAUUUCGACAAUAUAACGAGGCUUUUAGUUAUAUACCUAGCCUGCAUAGUAAAAGACAGCUUACAUAAAUUUCCAAUGCAAUUAUCAAAUAUAGCCACAUAUAUACUCAUAUAUCAUAAGCCAUUCAUAGGAAAAUAUAUUUUUCAAGACAAUUGGCAGCCUCCAAUUACUCAGUUUCAUGAUUAAAAGUUUCUUAUUUCAGAUAAUCAACACAAUGAAUUUAUUUGGCACAUUUAUUUCUAAAACAUCAAAAGUUCCAUUUUAAUCUCAUUUUCGUUUCAUAAAAUACAUAAAGAACAUUUAAAAAUAAACUCUAGAUAAUUUACAAGAAUGAUAGGUUUACUCAUCGUUUGUACAAACUAAUUGCUUUUUAGGUGCCCCGAUCACUGUUCGUCGGGUAUGACUUCCUUGCCUUUACUAGAAGGCUCUCCUCCUAGGCACAUUUCCAAAAUUACACAAUUCACCACAUUGAUGCUAAAUCACUAUAUAAUUGACUUAAAUCCUAUACUAAUGCAUGGUAUGAAAUGCAAUAGCCUAAAACGGCUUAAACGUGGUAUUCACCUAUUUUUUACACUUUCCCCGAUAAAUUGCUAAUGCGCUCCAUUUUAGCUCUAAAUUGUCCCAUUUUCUCUCCAACAUUUCUAACCAUUAAAUAUCAGCCAAUAACUUUCUAAAAUCAUCAAAAUCAGCUCACUUUCCUCCUUGAAAAAUUCGGCCAAAAAUGGGACAUUAAUUCGGUAAAUCUUCCACUUUGUUUUUCUAUCACAUUUAACCAUUUUUCAUCAUUUUCUCUUCAUUUCUCUUAGAAUAAAAAUCAGUUCAUCAUGAUUGUAUAUCAUUGAACAUUCAGCCAAGGGUGGGUAUUGUGAAAAUUUCAUGCUUUCUUGCCCAAUUUGAUUUCUAUACACAUUUAACUAACUAAAACUACCAAUUUAACUAAGAAUCAAAACCUAAAAAUUCAAAAAUCCUCCACCUUGAAUUUCGGCCAGCCCUUGGUUUCACUUUUUGAUCUCUCUCCUCAAGAAUGGUAAAUGGAAAUAAAGGCAUAGGAAAGGUAGAAAUCAAGCUAAAGUAAAAAAAUCUUACCGUUAGACGUGUAAAAUGACGAAAAACACGAUUUUCCCUUUGAAUUUUGUAGUUUUCCUUUGGUUUUUCUCUUUUCUUCCUUUCCUCUGUAUUUUCUCUCUUGUUCUCUCCUUAUGGCCGGCCAUCACCUGAUGUGGGGUUUAAAUGGGCUGAUUUUUCAUUAAAAUAAUAUUAAACAAUUAAAAAGUGCCAUUUGUCACUUUUCCAUUGGCCCGUUUUUAAAAUUUCAUUCUUUAAACUUCAAUUUUUCACUACUUAACAUACCAUAGUUAUUCAUACAAAAAAUAAGUAAAUCCUAUGAUUUUGACAAGUUUUGGGUGGUGAAAAUUACGAUUUUUAUCCCGAGGUGACAAAAUUACCGUUUUGCUCCUAUGUUCCGAAAAUUGCCGGAAUUGAAAAUUUUCACUUCCUAUCAUUAAAUUAUACUCCAAAUAGUUAAUCUUGGUCAAAAAUUUCACUCCAUGAUCAAAUUAUUAUCUUAGGUGGCAAAAUGAUGAUUUUGCCCCUAAACAUCAAAAUUUUCAAUUUUUCCCUAAAUGAACCCUCGAACUCCGAACAAUCACUUUUAGUCAUUCCUGGACUGUAAAAUAUUAAAUUUCAUCCUAUGAUUCCAAUUUGAACUAGUUCGAGGUUAAAUCAAAUCAAGUGUACCGUUAGGUACAAUACCGAGUUUUGUCUAUUCUUAGGACUUUCCUAGCAUAAUAACAUGCUACUCAAUGCAUGUAUGUCAUGACAUGUGUUUAUAGGGUCGGGUUUUACAUAUGCAAUCCCAAUCAUCACUCCAAACCAUCAUUUCUCAAACCCAUAUUGUAAUUCUCAACUAAAAAUAUCUCAAUAACAUUUUAUAGUAACCCAAUACUCACAAUUGUAUUAUGCUAACAUAGUAUCACUCAUUGGCCACCUUAUAGUAGCUUUAGUAAUCAAAUAUACAUAUUUGAUUUUUAACAUGAAUCUUAGUGGUCUUCGUUACUUAUACAUGUACACAAGCAUAAGACUCUUGACCGUCAGCGUAGUGACUCUAGGUGAAGAUACAGCUACUGAGUUACCAUAGUACCUACCAAAAAGGUGAGCAUACGUGGACAGCUCAAUCUAGGUCCCAACUGCCUUUGAAUCUGAAAACAUGAAGUUUAAAAAUGUGAAUAUAAACUCAGUGAGUGAACAUAAUAAGGGAACAAGCAAUCGAUAGGAAAAAUUUGGAAUCAUGAUGCACUUGUUUUAAAAAUAAUGCAAUUGAUUUAAUUUCUUACUAAAAACCCCUCAUUUCAAACUUUGAUCAAUAACCUCAUAGUGUUGCAAAAUCCCAUGAUCAAUCCAUGAAGUUAAAUGGGUGAAAAAUAGGUCAAAAUCAAGCAAGGUAGCAAGCAUGGCAGCAAGUUUUUCACUGCAGCGAGAAACAAUCUUAAUUUCCAUAUGUUUUAGUUUUUCUAUCAUAUCUCCAACUACAGAAGUCUAAUUGACAUGUUUUUUAGAUCAUUAGAAACCAAAGAAACAAGGCUCCAACUUUGAUGUUUACCACUUUUCCAAAUUCGGAUGGGAAGGUGGUCAAAAUCUUUGUCGAAGUGAAAGCACUGCACCAGAACCCGAGAGUUUCUCGCUGCAGCGAAAAUGAAUCUCACUUCAGCUAGAAACAGAGCAUUUUAAUUGAAAUGGGUCUGGUUACAUCAAAAGCCAUACAUCAAAAGCCAUUUCUUGUUGAAAUGAAAAGUAAUUUGAGAGCAAUUAACAAUGCCAACAUACAACACAAUCACAAAUAUUUUUCAUAACUUUCUAUAACACACACAUAUAUAUACAUAUGCAUUCAUCAUCAUGUGUGCACUCCUUACUCGCACACUUCAACAUCAUCAUGUGUGCACUCCUUACUCGCACACUCAAACAUCAUCAUGUGUACACUCUCUAUUCACACACUCUAACAUCAUCAUGUGUGCACUCCCUACUCGCACACUUCAAGAUCAUCAUGUGUGUACUCCCUACUUGCACACUUCAACAUCCUCACACAACAUUAUUCAUGAAUGCACAAUGUAUAUUCAUAGACAUACAUACCAACAUAAUAUAGGAGCAUAUGGAUUGAUCCUUUUACACAUUUCACAUUUUCACAACAUUAAAACAUUUUAUCAAGGGCUUGUUCCUCGGCACACUUUUUUAAACAAAAGGUUGGAUAAAAUCAUUCAAAUGUUUCAUCCAAAUACAUUUGCAUUUCCCAAAGCAAAUUUUUAAAUGCAAGUUCACUCACCGGUCUUGUUGAUUCUUUUGCUUGACUCUAACCUCAACAAAUGCUCCAAAUGGACAUGUGAGACCUUGUUGGAACCUAUACACACACAACAUCACAACCAACCCAAAUUGGCUGUCAUAUAAUUCCAAAAGCUCUUUCCUACUCAAGUUAUACUAGUUAUUCCUAACUUGCUUCUAAUUUCCAUUAAGUGGCUAGUUAUUCACACUUCUCUAGUCACCCUAAGAGUGAAUAAACAACCUCAAUGAUAAAACAUUCACAAACCCCAUUGUUAGCCAUUAUCAACAACUAAAGAAAUUUAACCUUAACUUAUACUCACCUUGAUGGUCUUUGUAGUUGAAUUCUCUUUCAAAAUUCUUCAAGCUAACAAGGGAAAUCACUCACUCUCUCUCUACUUGUCUAGCUAGUGAGAGGAAGAUGGAAGUAAGACUUUUUAAGGGUUUUAAGGUGAGAGAGUGAAAUAUCACAAAAGAUUCUAUGAAAAAGUGCUAAAAAAUAUGAAAAUUAAAGCUAGAGAGAGAAAGUUAUGGAAGCUUUAAAGGAGGCUCCCAUGGAGAUGAAGAAACGUGAGAGGGGAAAGGAAGACGAAAUGGUUGGAAGCUGCUAGAGCUUUAGAUAGUUAUAUUUAAAGUUUAUCCAUUUCUCACAUAAAUUACCAAAAUGCCCUUAACAUGGUGACUUUAUCUUUCUCCCAUCCUUUGUGCAACCUUUUACUCUUUUAACACCAGGACAAGGUCCAUAAUAGUCUAGAAAUGUUCAGGUUCACGAAAACAUAAAAAUUUAUACCCGAGAUGCAAAAUGACCAUUUUGCCCCUAUCAUGGAAAUUAUCAUUAUUUUUAUCUUCUUCAUUUAUUUACCAGCAUAAACGUCAUUCAUUCAUUCCUUAGGCCUAUUUAAACCUUCAUAGCAUAAAAAAAAACCCACUCGUAGGAGCUCACCAAGAGAAAUUACAAAAUUACCCCUGGUCCAUAUUAUCGCAUCUACUUCUAGUUAUGUGUUUAUGGAAAUCGAGAUUUCACAGGUUCACUUCUGGAUUACCCUUUUUAACUCAGUAAUUAACCUCAAUUGACAUCUGUAAACUUUAUUAGUCAUCGUAUCAAAAUACGAGGUACUACAGUUACCGACAUCCAAGACUUGCGAGUAAACCCACCAAAUCCUGAACAAGCCUUAGUUGAGAUUCUGGAUAAUUAAAUCGAAUAUUUUUUUACGCAUAUAAAUUGACUAGUAAUAAUGAUACCGUCGUUUACUUAACUAGAUAAACAUUUGUAAUUAAUACGUCGAGACUAGAUGUCAAUAUCCAAUUCCAAUAAACUUUCAACAGAUUUAACAUCACACUUAAUACUCAUUACACAACCUCAAAGUUUUUAGCAAAUACAUUUUCGAAAGCCUAAUAAUAAUUAUAAGUCUAACACUUUUAUACAACACAACCCAUAUACAGUGGAGUGACUCAAAGUGGAAGUCUAAAAGAUGCCAUUACCUACGUUGCAGCAAGUCUCGAUGUGCUGAGCAAUACACUUGAGCUGAUUACUUAUCUGUAAAAGGAAGAUAAAGGGGUGAGUCUCACUGACUUAGUAAUCAUCGACUCUGUGAGUAGGGCGUAGAUGGGAAACAAGCCAAGGAUAGGAAUUUUGAAACUUAAACACAUGCAAAUACAUACGAACAAUUUGAAAUCAACGAAGCAUUUGUGCCUUAUAUGUAAACCCAAAAGUUGUGUUGCAAAAUAAUCACUUCAAGUAAUAGAAUAAAAUCGACGCAAGUAAAAGAUUUAUGCCGUCGAAAUCAUUUGUUGUUCUUUACAUAAAAUCAGGCUAACAUAAACAAGCACACUCUCGUAAAAUCAAGCAAUUUCGAUGUUUAUACACAAGUUUAUAAACUAUCUCAUCCUCAAGAUAUUAUACACAAAUCCAUCAUAUAAAUAAGGGAGCUCUAGAAUAAAACUCAUAUUUCUCACCAUGCGAAUGAAUACGUAUUUGAAAACCCAAAGAGAUAUCACUCUAGAGUAGUUAAUAGAAAUAAAGAACUCGUGGACUCGCUUCUAUGUAAUAACAUUCAGGAGCAUCGCUCCACAAGAUUUCCAUAGCCAUGGUAGUCUCGACGAUGUUGGCCGACAUUGGACAAAUCAAGUGGUCGUGACUGUGUAUAUCAACUUAUUGCCUAGCCACAUAUAACAACUAGUGGCCUUGUCACAUAUAAUCAUAGACCCUGGCCUCUGCCACGUCUAACAGCCCAUCAGUGACCUAAAGAUUCUCUAGCUAGAGCUCAUUUGUGCACAAGGGUCACACUAUCUCGAUGUGAUAUUUGGCCUACCCUCGAAUCUCUCAGUUUGACAAAACCAUUUCAAAAUCAAGUUGGGUUUCCAAAAGCUCAUUUCAAAUCCAUUUCAAAAGUACCAACCAUGGUUACAUGAUAAAACCUCAUUUUGUAAGGCUUUGCAAUGUUAAACCUUUGCAUGAAGUUUAAAUAUCAAAUCAGCAUGGUGAAUAUAUAAUCUAUUCAUGGAUGCACAUCACACAACCAAUAAGGCACAUUUUAAUGUAAACUAUGUUAAAGAGCUUCUUUCCCGAUUUUAAAAACCCUUUACAUAAAUACCUUAUAUACAUAUAUUCAAAUCAAUUUCAAACAUCAUGGCAUCCACAAUUGCCUAGCACUUCUACCAGCUCAUGCUUUCCACAAAUUGCAUUUAAAGAAAAUCGACACGUCUAUUAAUCGUAUAUCAAAUAUAUAGUAUGGAAAUUUUGAAAUAGACACCCCUACUCACCUUACAAUAGUGGGAUACUACGUCGCUAUUGAUUCGGGUACGUAUCUAGCUAAUUCUACUCGCUGGUCACCCGUUACCUCUUUCGGCAUGCCACCACAGCAAAUUUCCCUUUAUCACACACUUCCUAGCAACCAUUCAAACCCAAUACACUUAAUUGUACUCAUACAUGGCAGCAUAUAGACCAAUAAUCCUUAACCAAACCUCAUAGUUUUCAUCAACAUUAUUCACAAUUAUUUAACAUACAAUCCUUACACUUUAACCAACCAAAGCUUAUACAACGCAAUGUAGUCACUUUGCCUGCUUACCUCUUGGUUCAAGCUUGAAUUCUAAAUAUGAUUCACAACUUCCUCACAUCUUCUGUCACCAUUCCUCAGAUCUCAUCUUUUCUUUCUACUUGUAAUUUCAAGACUAAAACACUUAGCCAUUACUUAUUUAGCUCAAAAUCACCAUGCAUUCCAAGAUCUAUCUACAUGCAUGCAUCUGGUUCUUGUACUUCUUGAAAAUCCUUACUACCACAAAGAAAAUCUCACAUUAUAAUCAGUUCAAAAAGCACGCAUUCAAGCAAAAUAACAAUUUCUACCUUCCUUACCUUGGAACCUCUAAGUCGAACCACCAAAUCUCUUUAAACUUCAACAAUGGAAUGUGGGUGGGGAGGAAAACCUCUCGAUUUUCUCUAGCUCCUUGAAGCCGAUUAUCUUUCUUCCUUUCCUCUCUACUCUCCCUCUCCUCUCAAGUGAAAGCUUCACAAAGCCCUCUCCUCUCCAUUUCCCUUCAAAAUGGGCGGAUUUUUCAUGGAAACUCACUUGUUUUCUUUACAUUUUCCUUUUCUAGGCCGAGCCUUUCCUUACAUAUUUUUUUCCUUCUCUUUUCUCUCUUCCUCUCGGGUGGAGCUUCACAAGACCAAAUCUCCCAUCAUUUUCUCUAAAUGAUACGAUUUGGUCAAUGUUCUCCAAGACUUUGCCCAUCUUUCUCUUUUUUUUUUAUUCCUCAUUUCUUAUUGGACCAACCUAUCUCCCGCUCAAAUUUCAUGCCCCAAUUUUCUCCUUUGCUCAUUGGUCCAAAAUCUAUCCUAAUUUUGCUUCUCCAUCUGCCACCUUCACCUUCCCAUUUUUUCAUUCUUCAUUCUUUAUUUCAUGCACCACCUUAUUCCUCCAAUCACAUUUCAUGCACAAACUUUACCUUAUAUUUUAUUUGGUCAUUUAUUCAACCAUUCAAGUCACAUGCAUCCCACCUUUUACCUUCCUCAUUUGGCCACCUUAUGCACCAAUCUCAUUACAUGCAAUUAACUUAGUCUUAUUCUUCCUUUUACUUCACAUGGUAGGGGUCCCACAUGUCCCCCACUAAUUUUUCCUUUUUGCUUGCUAUAAUUUGCAUGUAAUAGUGAAUUCACAUGUACAUCUCCUAUUCCACAUAAUCUAACUUUCCUUGGUUAGUAAAUUCACAAUUAACUUUAAAUUUUUAAAAUUGCACAUAAGUCCUCAAACUUUUCCUUAUUUACCAUGUGCUCCUCCAAACUUUUCAUCCUUUACAAUUUGGUCCUUCCAACAUUUCUUUAAUCCCAAUUUCCUCCUAUUUUCCUUCCUUUACAUGUGUGCAAACAAAAUAUAAAAUUUACACUUCACCACGGUAUCACCAUAAUAUUUAAAUAUAUACUUACUCGCUUUUACUCUAUUUAAUAAAGGCAUGCGGGUCCCACUAAUACCGUUUUUCUUCCAAAUUCUUUCUUACUUCUUCUCCCCCACUUAGAUUAUUCACAUAGUCCUCCUCCAUUACUAAUCUCAACAAUGAAUAAAAUAUUAAUAUUUUAUUGAUAUGUUCUUACUAAAAUAUUAUUUUAUUCCAAAAUAUUAUUUUUACCGAAUAUUGCUCUUUGGCACUUAAAUUUAUAUCAAUUGACCCUUUGUCUUAUCGAUAAGGUCUUAUUGGCUUCUAUAUGAGGGUACGGGGUGUUCCAUUGAUUAUCAUAUAUGCAAGGUUAUACUUAAGGAUAAAUAAUUUAGAACCAUUCCAAAAUAAAAUGAGAUGUAAUGUAAAUAUAUAAAUAUAUAUAGAUAUAUAUAUAAGCUAAGCAUCUCAUGCUAGCAAAGUAUAAAUCUAUGUUUCCCAAACAUAAAAUAAAAUAUUUAGCUAUAGGCCUAAAACCAAAACAUCUUAUCUUAGUAAUCAUGCCAUGAAAACAUUCAAUGUUCUAAAAUUUUUUAUUAUUCCACAAUCUAAUUUAGGUCGACAAGCUUGACCACCAUCAACUAAGGUUGUCACCUUCAUGGUCCUAUGUUUCACUGCUCCUUGUCAUUAGUUCCUUCAAUGUGUCAUACAUAUUAAAACCAUUAAUAAAGAGUAAGGUAUCAUAUACCAAGUAGUGAAAAAUCACCAUAUGAUUCAUACUUGAUUUGGAAACUUCCUUUUGUUUCUUCCCUUUGAUGGAUUCAAGAUAAUCCUUGCAAUUGCGCCUCUAAUGCCCUAAUUUGUCAUAGAAAUAGCAUUUGUCAUUGUCCUUGUCCUUCUUCACUCCUUUAGUAGGCUUCAUACCUUUCAAAGUUGAUGCCUUUUCAUCGUUGUCUUUCUUAGAAAAUUUUCCUUUCUUAUUUUUAUUUUUCUUAGAAUAGACAACAUGAACUAAAGGUUCCUCCUUUGCAAUGGUGUUCUCAGCUUAUGUUAGCAUAUUCAAUAAGCCCGAAAGGGUUACCUUAAUCUUGUUCAUGUUGAAGUUCAACAUAAAUUGUGAAUAGCUCUCUUGUAGUGAAGAAAGUAUAAGGUCAAUGCCUAAAUCAUGAUCCAUAACCCAACCCCACUACUCAAGUCCAGUGAUAUCCUAUCACAACCCGGAACCUCCCUCGGCCCAUGACAACCCCGCGACGUCCCAAUUGACACUCAUUAUCCGAAAUGCCAAUUGGAACCCCGCAAGGCUAACGAAUUAGUUUCUUGCCUUUUCUGUGAGCAAUCGUUGUUAAAUAUAGAGUUUUAAAAAAAUAUAAACUAUUUUAGAUCGAAAACAAUCAAAAUAAAAUUUUCGCCACAUAGGAGUAUUUUGGUCAUUUUUACCAAAAAAUUUCGAAACCUAAUAAAGAUACAACGUAUGGUAGAAAAAUAUCCACUACCAAUUAAAAAUAAAUUUUUGUAAUCUAAAUCAUUCAUUUAGAGUGAAAAGUUAGCUAAUUAAACUAAAUAAAAAUAUUUGAUAAUAUAUUUCAUUUUCUUAUAAAAUAAUUUUUAUAGAACUAUACAUAAAUAAUUUUUGUAGCGUGAGAAUAAAAUAAAUUCAUACAUACAAUAAUUUACAAAGUUAUAAUGUACAAUAAUAAUUAUAAUGACAAGUGGCCCAUAAAUACACCCAAUAUUGGUGAUAAUAACCUAUUGUUUGUGGGAUAGAGGGGUCAACUGGAAUCCUCGACAAAAUCGGAUAUCUACAAGCUACCACAGGCCUGAAAUGUUUGGAAAGGAGGUGGGUGAGAUUUUGAAAUCCUAAUGAGUAAACAGACAUUAUCAUAAAUAUCUAAAGGCGAGUAAAAUGGAUGCAAGUUUAAACAACAAAUCACAAACCAUUUCAUAAGGUUUUCAAUUUCUUUCUUAAACCAUAAAACAUUUGUUAUUUACCAAAACAGUUGUCAAGGCGUAUAACCUUUAUUAAAAACAUGGCUCAAGCCAAAAUCUAGUCCUCGGGGAUACCUUGGACAAGGCAUCUAACCGAGUCCGCCAAGGUUGUUAAGAUAUUUACAUGUUAAACACAUUCUAGUUUUGAAAACAAGUCGUUCCUUGGCGUCGGUCGAGUUACACAUUCACGUGGGGGUUCGACGUGAAGUGAACUCUAACACUACCCCGGGAGUUACCCUCCUCACCUCUACAACUAGAGUAACUAUGAAAUCGAGUUUACCGUGCCCCUCUAAUAGGCAGUCCAUGAAAACCCGUCACUGCAGUGACUAACCCACCAAUUUUAAUAAAAUUUCGACAGUAUAACGUGGCUUUUAUUUAUUUACCCAGCCUGCAUAGUAAAAAUAGCUUACAUUUAUUCCCAAGGCAAUUAUAAAAUAUAGCCACAUAUACUCAUAUAUCAUAAGCCAUUCAUAGUAAAAUAUAUAUAUUUCAAAAUAAUUGACAGCCUCCAAUUACUCAAUUUCAUAAUCAACACAGUAUAUUAUUAUUUGUCACAUUUAUUUCUAAAACAUCAAAAAUCCCAUUUUAAUCUCAUUUUGAUUUCAUAAAAUCCAUGAAGAGUAUUUAAAAAUAAACUCUAGAUAAUUUACAAUAAUAAUAGGUUUACUCACCGUUUGUACAGAUGAAAUGCUUCCUAGGUGCCCCGAUCACUGUUGGUUGGGUACGACUUCCUUGUCUUUACCGGAAGGCUCUCCUCCUAGACACAUUGUAAAAUUUACCCAAUUCACCACAUUGAUGCUAAAUCACUAUAUAAUUGACUUAAAUCCUAUACUAAUGCAUGGUAUGAAAUGCAAUAGCCUAAAACGGCUUAAACGAGGUAUUAACCUAUUUUUGGCACUUUACCCGAUAAAUUGCUAACGCGCUCCAUUUUAGCUCUAAAUCGUCCCAUUCUCUCUCCAACAUUUCUAACCAUUAAAUAUCAGCCAAUAACCUUCUAAAAUCACCAAAAUCAGUUCACUUUCCUCCUUGGAAAAUUCGGCCAAAAAUGGGACAUUAACUCGGUAAAUUUUCUACUUUGUUUUUCUAUCACAUUUAACCAUUUUUCAUCAUUUUCUCUUCAUUUCUCUUAGAACAAAUCAGAUCAUCAUCAUCGUACCUCAUUGCAGAUUUGGCCAAGGGUGGGUAUUGUGAAAAUUUAAUGCUUUCUUGCCCAAUUUUUUUUCUAAACACAUUUAAUUAACUAAAACUAUCAAUUUAACUAAAAAUCAAAACCUAAAAAUUUCAAUUUCUCCCCCCUUGAAAUUCAGCCAGCCCUUGAUGUCACUUUUAGAUCUCUCUCCUCAAGCAUGCUAAAUGGAAAUAAAGGCAUAGGAAAGGUAGAAAUCAAGCGAAAGUCGAAAAAUCUUACCGUUAGACGCGUAAACGAGCGAAAAACGUGAAUUCCCCUUUGAAUUUUCUUGUUUCUCUUUGAUUUUUCUCUUUUCUUCCUUUCCUCUCUAUUUUCUCUCUUGUUCUUUCCUUAUGGCCGGCCAGCACUUAGUAUGGGGUUUAAAUGUGCUGAUUUUCUAUUAAAAUAGUAUUAAACAAUUAAAAAGUGCCAUGUGUCACUUUUCCAUUGGCCCAUUUUUAAAAUUUCAUCCAUUUGUUUCCAAAUUUUUACCAUACACUUGUCCCACAUAUCCAUCGCUUAGAUAAAAUUCUCAGACUUAUCCAAAGUCUUGGUGGAGUAAUUUUUGAAAUUUACACUUUUGCCCCCGUAAAAGUGAGAAAUUACAUUUUGGCCUAAAAACUGAAAAAUUGCCCAUAGACAUAUUUUUCAUCCCUUAUACUCAUAUCAUUCUCCAAUUUGUCAAAUUUGAUCUAAAUUCUCUCAAAAUCUCAAAUUUUGUCUGCGGGUGGCAAAAUUACGAUUUUGCCCCUACACUCCAAAAAUCACCAGAAUUAAACUUUUUCACUUCCUAUCAUUAAAUUAUACUCCAAAUAGUUAAUCUUGGUCAACAAUUUCACUCCAUGAUCAAAUUAUUAUCUUAGGUGGCAAAAUGACGAUUUUGCCCCUAAACAUCAAAAUUUCCAAUUUUACCCCAAAUGAACUCUCGAACUCCGAACAUUCAUUUUUAGUCAUUCCUGGACUAUAAAAUAUUAAAUUUCAUCCUACAAUUCCUAUUUAAACUAGUUCGAGGUUAAAUCAACUCAAGUGUACCGUUAGGUACAUUAUCGGGUUUCGUCUAUUCUUAGGUGCUUUCCUAGCAUAAUAACAUGUUACUUAGUGCAUGUAUGUCAUGACAUGUGUUUAUAGGGUCGGGUUUUACAUAUCCUACCAUUUUAAGCACAUGAGGCCUUACUAGGCUUCCCUCAGAUAUCGUACAUUGGAACAAUUCCUUUGAAAUGUCGAAUCUCUUUGUGCAACUUUCCUUAUCGAACAUUUCUCUAAGGUUUAGGAUAAUAUCCAAAGCAUUCAUAGCUUCAUGUUGCUUUUGAAGAUCUGGAGCCUUACUAGCCACCAUCACACAUGUGGCUUGAUCGAGAUCAACCAUAUAAACUCUAUAGGCCUCAUUUUCAUCAUUUGUAGCAUCAUCGCUAGGUUCCUCAAGAACAAGACCAUCUAGGACAUAAGCCUUUUUCUCUUGUUUCAAAACAAUCUUGAUAUUGCGAAACCAGUCAAUGAAAUUUGGGCCUAUCAACUUGUUUGCAUCAAGUAUGCUUCUAAGUGACAAACUAUUCACCAUGAUAUGACUAUUACUCAUUAACGCAAACUAUAUAAUCAUAAAGACAAGGUUUUAAAUAUUAUAUGACUAUUCUCGAUAUUUUAUCAAAAUAAUAGCCUUCUUCUACUAUUUCAAGAAAUUUAACCAUCAAACUUUUUGUUGAGCUGGGAUCCUUUUCAUCCCACCAUGACCUUGAGUGACUCAACAAGCUACAAUGAAACUAAUUAGGUAGGUAACUUAGCUUACCAAUUGUAUCUUACAUAACUCCUAGAUCAGUUAGGUGACAACUCCUUGUCUAAAUGUAUCAUAUACAUUUUCUCUAACUAUGCCUCUAACACCAUGCGAUCAUGUGUGACACAUCCGAACAACAUGGUACUAGUUGAGUAAGGCCCACCAAUAAUUCAAACAUACUCAUGGAAAAGUUUGACCUUGAGUGACUUAACAAGCCUCUAAUUAAAAGAGUAGCCUGGUUAUCUUGUUAUAUAGUGGAAGGUAAGUUUUUGACUUGAUAUAUUAAUGAGGGAUUUUUAUUUAUUAAUUCAUUAAUUAAGGUCUUAUUGAUUUGGUGUUGUUGACAUGCAUGGCAUUUAUAGCGUUUCACAUAUAUCAUAUAUAUAUAUAUUUACUGAAAAAUAAAUCUAUCUCAUGCUAGCUACUAGGAUAAUUAUGGACGUUACUAAUUCUAAUUUCCUUGAGCCAUUAAGGAAAUUAGUUGGUUAAAUUCCUAGGGGAUUUAUACAAACAUCAUCUUCAAGCUUCGCUUGUAACCUCCUUGAAUCUCCAUGGCGCCUUCGAAUCUCCAUCUUCAAGUUAAAAAAAAUUUUCUAUUUAACCCUAGUUUUACACUUUGAUGCAACUAAUUACAUUUUAUAAUCAAGAAACCUCGAGUUACAUUCAAUGGGAGUUAGGUGAGAAAAGAAUUUUACAACCUAGAGAAAAUAGAGAUAAGGCAAGAUAUGCAAACCCUAUUUUAAAAUAAAUACCAUGAGAAAUAAAUUUAACCAUCCAUGACCUAAUCUUCUAAGGUCUAAGUUGUAACACCCUAUACCAUCAUAUAGAAGUCAAUAAGACCUUAUCAAUAAGAUGAAGAGUCAAUUAACCUAAAUUUAAGUGCCAAAGAGUGAUGACGGGUGAAAAUAAUGUUUUAGAAUAAAAUAAUUUUUUUUAAUAAAAUAGUAUUAAAGUUAUUAAUAUUUUAUUUAUUGCAAAAAUUAGUCAUGAUGGAGGACUAUAUGACUAGUCCAUGUGGGGGACAAGAAGUAAGAAAGAAUUUUAAAGAAAAAUGACGUUAGUGGGGCCACGUGUCUGUAUUAAAUAAAGCUAGAGCGGGUAAAUAUAUAUUUAAAUAUUAUGGUGUUACCCUUGUGAAGUGCAAAUUUUAUAUUUUGUGUGUAAAUGUGUAAAGGAAAGGAAAAUAGGAGGAAAUUGGAAUUAAAGAAAUGUUGGAAGGACCAAAUUGUGAAGGAUGAAAAGUUUGGAAAGGCACAUUGUAAAUAAGGAAAAGUGUGAGGACUUAUGUGCAAUUUCAACUUUUGAGGUUAAAUGUGAAUUACUAACCAAGGGAAGUUAUAUUAUGUGGGAUAUGAGAUGUACAUCUGAAUUCACUAUUACAUGCAAAUUAUAGCAUGCAAAAAGGAGAAGUCAGUGGGGAACAUGUGAUACCCCCACCAUGUGAAGAAAAAUGAAGAAUAAAGACUAAGCUUGUUUGCAUGUAAUGAGAUUGGUGCAUUAGGUGGCCAAAUGAGGAAAGUAAAAUGUGGGAUGCAUGUGACUUGAAUUGUCUAAUAAAUGACCAAUUAAAAUACAAAGUGAAGCUUGUGCAUGAAAUGGGAUUGGAGGAAUAAGGUGGCAAAUGAAAUAAACCAAAAAGAAUACCAUGUGAAUCAAUGCAUGUGCAAAGUAAUUUAGUCAAAGCAUAAAGGAAUGGACAAGGAAAACCUUGCAUGAAAAAUCCAUUAAUGAAAAGUGGAGUUAAUAACCAAGAGAGGAGUUGAAUGGCAUGACAUGUAAAAAGAAAUGAAAAGAAAUAAUAGAAAAAGGAAGUGACUUUGGGCAAUUCACCCACAACAAAGUAAAAAGAGAAAGGAAGAAAGGAGAAAGAAAGAAAAGAGAAAGAAAGAAAGGAGAAAGAAGAAAAAGAGAAAGGAAGGUUCGGCUUUGUCACAACCCAAAUUUUUCGGUCAUGACCGGUGCAAGGGCCCAAUGGGUUCAGCCCACAAAGCCCAAGCAAGCCUCUUUAUAGAAUCUUAUACAUUAAUCCAUACUCAUUUAAAAUUCAAAAUUUAUAGCGUUCAAAUAUAGUUCCUUUGAAAGCAAUUCAUAAACCCUAACUAUGCAUUCAGAAUGGCAUCAUCAACCAUAAUACGCAUAUAUAGUUUGACAAAUGAAUCUCAUCGUUUCACGACAAGUAUUCAUAUACACUUAAUUGGAGCUUGACCGUCAGCGGAGUGACUCUGGACACGGUUGCUAACAUUUAAUGUCAUCGUAAACCUACCAAGCAAUGGAUAAGGAGGAACACCUCGUCCUAGGAUCCAACCACCUUUGAC
RNAcentral lists this long non-coding RNA (60658 nucleotides) under Theobroma cacao (cacao). RNAcentral's name for it is "long non-coding RNA (TCAC_LNC002469)". Lineage: Eukaryota; Viridiplantae; Streptophyta; Magnoliopsida; Malvales; Malvaceae. The record is from RNAcentral.